AACCAAGCAUAUUGCUUUCCUCAAAUCCAUUAGUUGCUCGGGAAAGUUCAUCAUGUGAAAUUCUUUUCAAAGACAACAAAUCAUCUUUAAUUGGUAGAGUUGUACUCCUUCUUUGGCAUCUUCUAUACAUNNNNNNNNNNNNNNNNNNNNNNNNNNNNNNNNNNNNNNNNNNNNNNNNNNNNNNNNNNNNNNNNNNNNNNNNNNNNNNNNNNNNNNNNNNNNNNNNNNNNAUUUGGGAGUUUUUGUGGAUGUCGUUUUUGCAAGGUGGGACUAGCAAUCUAGGUGGACCACAAAGUGCAUAAUUCUUCAUGAAUGAUGUGCUAGAAAAGUUUGAAAAACAUCCUUUGCUGGGAAUUUCCCCUUCAAGUCUAUUGAAAGACACAUUAAAAUACUUUAGAUAUAAAAGCUUUUCCAAAGAUUUGGGAAUGACUCCAGAGAGAUUGUUAUUGCAUAAAUCCAAGAAUUCCAAACUAAUCAACCCAUCAAAUGAUUCAGGGAUAUGACCAUGUAGUAUAUUAUUUGAUAAAUCUAAUGAAACCAAAGUUUGAAGACCCCCAAAUGUGGAUAAGACAUCGCCCGUGAGAAGAUUCCUUGAUAAAUUUAGUUUCAGUAGACUCCUAAGAUUUCCAACAUCAAUAGCAUGUGAAUUGUGAAGAUGGUUUAAUGAUAAAUCUAUUUUUAAGAUAUCUUUGAGAUUCCACAAAGUUGAGGGUAUUGCAGAACUCAAUUUGUUGGAAGCAAAGUAAAGAUAUCCUAAAGAAGUAAUAUUACCCAAACAAGAGGGUAUGGAUCCAUGCAGCUUAUUCAACCCUAAAAACAAGUUGUAUAAUCUCUCCAAAUCACAAAGGCUUUCUGAGAUGGGCCCUCCUAAUUUAUUAGAGGAAAGACCUAGACUUUGGAGAUUCCGCAGUCCUCCUAUUGAUUUUGGAAUGAAUCCACUUAAUUUAUUAUAGCCAUGUUCUAAAACCAACAUGUUGCUUAAGUUACCUAUUUCCAUAGGAAUAGUGCCUUGAAGCUCACACUCUUCGGCAUAAAAGUAUUGAAGGGAUUUUGAAAGGUUCCCAAUAUAAGUAGGAAGAACGCCACUCAAUGGAUUUUCUGAAACUCCUAUGGUUUUCAAAUUCUUACAAUUCGUCAAAGAAGAAAGAAAGCUCCACUCAUGAUCAGUAGCAGAUCCUGUGAUCAAAUUAUUGUUUACGAUUCGGAACCAUUCAAGCUGUCUUAAGUUGCCAAGCGUUUUAGGGAUUGGGCCAGAGAAUAAGUUAUCUCCCAAGUCUAGUUUCUUAAGCAUGGAAGCAUUGGAGAUAGAGUUGGGAAUGUUUCCGCUAAGUUUAUUUCCCCCAAAAAAAAGAAACUCAAGCUUUGGAGCAUUGGUGAUGGGUGGUAAAUUACCUGUAAAAUAGCAUCUUUUAGUAUACAUAUUCAUUGAAUACCAAAUUCACAAAAUAUAUAAUACAUUAAAAUAAAAACUGUAAAACUUUAAAUCAAUUAAGAAUAGAAUUUUGGCAUGGAAAAAUGUGAUGAAAUCAAUUAGAAAGUUGAGACAUAAUAAGAAGUUUUGAGUAGUAAUUACUCAUGAUUUCUAUAGACAAAACAUAUAAUAGACUGAUAAUUUUUUUAAAAUAUUGUAAAACCUGAAAUAAAAUAAAAAAUAAAAGUUUGGCACGAGAAUGUAGCAUCUAAUCAUUCUUAAAAAUAAGACUAACACUGAAUAAUAAUUAGUUAUGAUUUGAGAAAAAAAUUUUAAAGAUGUAUGAUUUUUAUCUAUUGGGUUAAUUAUUUAUUUUAAUUAAAUUACAGUGUAAAAUUUAAAGAUUAUUAUUUGCUCAAAAUUUUUGUAUUUUUCGUAUAUUUGAAAUUUAAUCUUUAUAUUUUUUAUUUUCUGUGAUUUAGUCUCUUUACUUUUUGAAUUGAAAAUUUUAAGUUUAUUUAUUAACACUGUUAAAAGGUUUUUGUGUUAGUAUGGCAUUUUAAAAAAUAAAAUAAACUUGAUAUCUAUGUUUUUAAUUAUUCCAAAUACUGUUUUACUAUUCCAAGAUAAAUUAUUUGUGUCUAGACCAAUAUCUUAAGAACUAUUGUUGCAUGUUUAAUUAUUCUAAAGAAUUGUUGAUUGAGACUUAGUUGAAGUGCACUAUUUUCCUAUUUAUGAAUUGGGGAGUUGGUAAAGUACUAAAUUUUGAUAUAUUUUAAAAUAUUAAAAAUUUAUUAAAAUAUUUUUUUAUAAAAAUUGAUUCUACCACAUUAUACAAUUUUAAUAUCAAAUUUUUAAUUUUUUUAAAAUAUUAGCGACUACCACAUUAUACAAUUUUAAUAUCAAAUUUUUAAUUUUUUUAAAAUAUUAGCGAAUAUAUACUUUAUUUCAAGUUACACAAUUUUUACUAGUUUUUAACUUUUUUUUUAAAUUUUUAUCCUCUUUUAUAAUUUCUAAUAAUUUUUUAUAAUUUUUUACAAUAUUUACAAUUUCUAACAAUUUGUAAUAAUUUUAUUAUUUAUUACAAAUUUAAAAAUUAACAAGUUUUUAUUUUUAAAACAAUUAUAUAUUUAUAAUGUAGUUAUUUUUUUAUAAUUUUUUUUGAAAUUUUAAAGAUUUUUUUGGUUUUUUUUCUAGAUGAUGAUGCCAUCAUGAUGACAUCAUAUGCCACAUGGCAAUUUAUAAUUAGUUAAAUAUCUCAAUCUAUUUUUUAACGUCCAAUGGACUAAAACAAGAACACCUGAUAAUGUUAGAGACUACACUGGGAAUGUUUGAUAAUAUCAGGUACUAAAGUGGGCAAAAAAAUUAAGGACUAUAUUAAAAAUAUAUCUANNNNNNNNNNNNNNNNNNNNNNNNNNNNNNNNNNNNNNNNNNNNNNNNNNNNNNNNNNNNNNNNNNNNNNNNNNNNNNNNNNNNNNNNNNNNNNNNNNNNNNNNNNNNNNNNNNNNNNNNNNNNNNNNNNNNNNNNNNNNNNNNNNNNNNNNNNNNNNNNNNNNNNNNNNNNNNNNNNNNNNNNNNNNNNNNNNNNNNNNNNNNNNNNNNNNNNNNNNNNNNNNNNNNNNNNNNNNNNNNNNNNNNNNNNNNNNNNNNNNNNNNNNNNNNNNNNNNNNNNNNNNNNNNNNNNNNNNNNNNNNNNNNNNNNNNNNNNNNNNNNNNNNNNNNNNNNNNNNNNNNNNNNNNNNNNNNNNNNNNNNNNNNNNNNNNNNNNNNNNNNNNNNNNNNNNNNNNNNNNNNNNNNNNNNNNNNNNNNNNNNNNNNNNNNNNNNNNNNNNNNNNNNNNNNNNNNNNNNNNNNNNNNNNNNNNNNNNNNNNNNNNNNNNNNNNNNNNNNNNNNNNNNNNNNNNNNNNUACAAUUAUUUAUGAUGAUGUUGUUGUCAAUUCCUAAGUUAGUGUCGAGUUAAUUUGUGACAUCAUAAAUUUAAGUGAUAAAUUUAAGGUUUUAUGUAUUGAUGCGGAUUCAAAUAUCACCAUAAUUUUUUUUAAAUAAAAAACUAAAGUACCCUCAAAUAUUAUAACUUAUAUUAAAUAUGAAAGGGUAUUUUUGUAAUUUCUCUAACAAGUUGGUGCCCGGUUGACUCAUGACACCAACUCAAUCAAAAGCUUCAAUAAUAAUAUAGAUAUUCACGUUAAAAAAAAGUACUUUAGUUCCAAAUAAUUAUAUAACAAGUAAAUUUAUAAUUGAUGAAUAAAUUUAUAAAAAUAUAUUUAUAUGAUCUAAUACAUUAUAUUUAUAUUAAUUAUAUAUCAUCUACAAACUUUGAAGAUCAAUUCAUUAAGUAUCAAGAAAGGAAAAAAAUGAAAUUGAAUUAACACUAAAUCAAUUUUUAGAUUUUGUACAGAUGAUUUAAUGAUGAUAAAAAAAUUAUUAGCACUAUUUUUGAAUUAACAAAAAAUUAGUGAUAUAUUUUAAUUAUAUUUAUUAAUUAUUAUUUUUAAUAAUGUUUUUUUUAAUUAUAUAAAGUAAAAUUACAUUGUAUAGUAAAUAUGGUACAUAUACUUUAAAUAUAACUAGAAAAUUUAUUAUAUAAAUUAAUAUAUUUUAAUUAUAUUCAACCAUUUGAAUAACAAAUAAAAAAAUAAUUAGAAUAAUUUAUUUUUUAAAGUUUAAUGGAAAUUAAAAAACUAAAAAUUAAUCAAUUCAUAUAAAUUUUGUUNNNNNNNNNNNNNNNNNNNNNNNNNNNNNNNNNNNNNNNNNNNNNNNNNNNNNNNNNNNNNNNNNNNNNNNNNNNNNNNNNNNNNNNNNNNNNNNNNNNNAUCAGAUGAAAAUGAUAAAAGUAUAUGACAUAAAUAGAAGAAACAAAUUCAACACCAUGUUUUUGGAGUUUGGAAAAUAUUAAAGUGAAAAACAUACCUUCUAAUUUGUUGUCAUAUAGACCUAUUUUUUCGAGCGUAGUUGAAUUAAAAAUACUAGUCGAAAAUUGAAGUGAAAAACAUACCUUCUAAACUGUUCAACUAAAAAUACUUUAAGCAUUUUUUUUAGUAAAGCCCUUCAAGCUUAUUUUUUAGUAAAGCCCUUCAAGCUUGGGAAGAUGUUGACACAUAUCAUUAGGCAAAGACUAAUAGCCUUCAAAGAAGAAAUCUUGAAGAUGGAAGAUGGAACCUGACCAGAUAAUUGAUUGAAUCCUAAGCUCAAGAUCUCUAGAUUAGACAUGUUAACAAGUGUUUCAGGGAUUGUGCCUGUAAAUUAAGUUAUUAUUUUUCAUUUUCAGCCUUCGAACUCUCUGUAAGUUCCCAAGCCAUGAUGGAAUUUCCUGAUUAAGACGGUUGUAGCAUAAUUGAAGGAUCCUCAAACGAUGCAAUUGGCCCAAUUCUUUAGGGAGAUGGCCAUAGAAAUGGUUGCUACUCAAGUCGAGAGAGAGUAGAAAUGAAAGAUUUCCAAGGUGUGGAGGGAUAGUACCCCUAAGAUUCAUGCUUGUAAGAUUCAAAGCUGUAACUCUUUUAUGGAGGAUGCCACAAGAAACACCAAUCCAAUUGCAAACAGAGGUUGAGACCGUCCAAUUGUUUGGCAAGACAUUUUGAGGACCGGCGAUGCGAUCCUUAAACUCGAGAAGUGCAAACUGAUCGGAAUUGAGAUUCCUGACUGUCAUAGCCAAGCACGCAACAUGGUAUGAAUAAAGCUAAAAGAAGAUGAAAGCAAGUGUUGUAGUUCAUGAUUGCAAGACAGAAUAAGCAAAGAAAAUAAAAUAAAAAAAAGUAGGAAAAGGGAAGUUGAGUUAAUAAAAUAGUUUGGAUGAUGAAGAAAAGCCCAGACAGCAUGCUUUAAUAUGUUUGGAUGAUAAAUUUAAACUUGAUAAAUUUAAGACUACCCUAAAAAUACGUACAAAGAAAUUUCAAAUUUUCAAAAUAAAUACAUACAAAGAAGCGAAUUUUCAAAAUUUCUCCUAAAUUUCCUUCACAUUACUCCACAUAAUCCAUUAAAAAAACUUAAAAAAUAUAUUUUAUUAAUUACUAUAUAUUCUUUUAUUUUCAGAAUAAUAAAUUGUUUAAAAUAUGCUAUUAGUCCCUGUUAUUUAAAAGUUAAAAAAAUUCAAUCCUCCUAUUUUUCUAAUUUAAAAAUUCUAGUCCAAUCAAUUUUAAUUCCAUUAAAAAAUUUCAACUUAAUAGGUUUUUUAUUAUCAAUCAUAUGCAACAUUAUAUGAAGACAGUCUACUCAGCAUAUAUCCAAGUUUACAGAUUUUAAUAGAAAAUACUUACAAUCCUAAUGGUAGGACUAAGUUUUUUAAACUAGAAAAGUAAGAAGACUUAAUUUUUAACUUUUUAAGUACAAUGAUUAAAUUUUAAAUGUUGUCAAAGUACAAGCACUAACAAAAUAUUUUGAUCUAAUAAAUGUAAAAAACUUUUUAAACAAAAUAAGGUUGAAAUAAUCUAUUUUUCCUUGUACUUUGAUAAAAUUUGAGAUUUAGUCCUUAUAUUUAAAAAGUUAAAAAUUAAGUCUUAUUGUUUUUAUUUAAAAAUCUUAGUCCUAUCUUUAAUUUUAUUUUAUCAAAUUUUGUCAACUUUACAUAUUAAUUAAGUUUCCAUUAUAUGUCGUGGUAUCAAUCAAAACUUAAUUAACAUCCAUCAAUACGUCAUACAUAAAAAAUGCAAGCAUAAAAUGCAGUUAAAAGUAUUUGGGAUCUCGAGUGCAUCAAGUUCCUCCUUUUAUUAUUAAAUGUUUUAUUUUAGUUACUUUAAUCAAAUAUAUCCAAAUUGUAAUAGAGUUAACAUUUAUUGUGUAAAAAAUAUUUUAAACUUUUUGAAUUGUAGUUUAAUUCUAGAAGAAAUAUUUCAUUUAUAAAACUAUAAAACUUUAAAAAUAUUAACUCUGUUAAAUAAAAAUUAUUUUUUAAAAUAGUAAAUGUUAACUUUAUUAACACAAAUGGGUCUUUAGGGCUAAACUUCAGUAAUUGACGAGCUCUUCCACAAACCGUGGAUGAUUUGGGGAUAAAAACUUCAAUAAUUAUGGAGUUAUAGUGUAAAUUUGCCACUAUAUUAUAAGUGUAUUGAAAUUUAUCACUAUAUUUUAUUUGAUGUUUAUCAUUACACUUUGAAAAUAUAAGUAAAUUUACCAUUUAACUCAGGUUUAACUUUGCAAGUAAACUUAAAAUUUUAUUCAAUUUUGUCACUAAAUUUGAUUUGUUCAAUAUAGAUUUUGGUGACUUAAAACAAAAUUAAUAAAAAAUUAUUCUUCCGGAUAUCUUUUUAAUGUUUAAUAAUAAGUUAAUUUAUAAAAUAUACUUUCAUUGGACACAAGCCCCCAAGGCAGUGAAACACUGAUCAAAUUAAUUUGGAGUUAUCUUUUUUUCUAAAUAAAGUGAAUUUACGAGUUUUGUUUUCUUUUAAAAAUAAUUUUAAUAUUUUGGUGGAUAUCAAAAAUUAUUUCAGUAAGAAAUUUUAAUUCACUCGAAAAGUUAGUGUUUUAUUUCAAGGGUCAUAAUUAAUCAUUAGAUUUCUCAAUUUUAAAUUUUGAAUUUUUUGACAAUUGCGUAAUUAAUAAGUACCAAUUUUGAGUGUUGUAGGGCUAGUACAAUCUUCAUUACACAUACCCGACUCUUGAACUUACUCUUUUCUCUAGAAUUCAAUGUAGACCUCAAAUUUAUCUUUUGAAAAGAAUUUUAAAAUCGUAUAAAAGGUUUUUUUUGUGACCGAUCACACUUAACAAAAAUUUAAAAAUUAUUAAAAAAUAAUUUCUUUUUGAAAUUUAAAGUGAUCUAAAAACAUAUUUUUAAGUGUUUUGGACCAUCUAUUGCUGAUUUCCUUAUUAUAUUAAAUGUUUGCAAUCACUCCUAAAAUAUUAUGCGUGAGUUGUAACAGAGCAAAUCGUCAACGUGCCAUAUUGAUCAAUUGAUGCUGAAACUGAAGUUUUUGUUAUAUUGAUAGAGCUUGUCCUUCAACGCAUACAACGUGUUUAUUAUUUUUCUCCCUUCAAAUUGUAUGAUCUUAUUCAUUAAAUGAAUUAAUGAAUUUCCCUAUUAAAAAAGAUAUAUUUUUAAAAUUAAAUACUUAAAAAAAUUUUAAAACUAUUUAAAAGUUGUAAGCCUUAAAACAAUCAACAAAAUAUAUUUUUCUCUAAAAAAAAUCAAUAAAAAUAUGUUUAAAAUUUUUUAACAAUAAUAUAUUUUAAAAUUAUAGUAACGCUAUAAAAUAUAUAUAUUUACUAAUUAUAUACACCUUUCCAUACAUCCUUUUUCUACAUAGAAUUUCAAAAGUAAAUGUGAAUUAAUGUAGACGUGAGAAGACUUAGAGGUAAGUCACCCAACGAAAGUGUCCUAAACCGACUUACGGAAGAAUCAAACAAUAAUUUUGUAUCUUAUAAUAUAUUUAAUUACAUUUAUUAGUUUAUCAAUCAAAACUUAAUUAGAAUCCAUCAAUAUUUCACACAUCAAAAACCCAAACAUAAAAUUCACUUUUAAAUUAUUCGGGAAAUAUUUGUAUUAUAGGAAAUGGGUUAAAUUAGUUUUUUAUUAUUAAAUGUAUUAUCUUAAUUUUUGUAUUAGGUAUGAAUGAUAUCUCCUAGAUUGAAGCCAAAGCUAUUCUUGAAAGACUAAAAUUAGGAUUCAGAUGUGUUGAGAUGGAAAGUGGCAACACAAUGCUGAUUGAUACUAUUUGUAAUGGGUUAGCUACAAUAAGUCGUGCUGCUGAAGUAAAGCAAAUUUACGAUUGGUGUUCCAAAAAUUUGGGAAGUCAAAUUUCGACAUAUUCAGCGGAAUACCAAUAACGUUGUUGAUUGCAUAGCUAAGGCAAAUGGAGGCGUAAUUGAGCAGCUGGUUAUCUUGGAAGAUCCUCCGCAUUAUGUGAGAUGGUAGCUUGAAGAAGAUAUUAGAUAGUCACUGGUGAUUGAUGAUAAUUUUCAUUUGGACUGAUGAGCGCUUAAUUUUCUAAGCUUAUGUUCAACAAAAAAAAAAUUAAAUACGUCUAAAUUGUAAUAGAGUUAUCAUUUAGUGUUUAAAAAAUAUCUUAAAAAUUAUUUUUUCCAAUUGCAGUUCAAUUCCACAAAUAUUGACGAUGAGCCCGGACAUAAAAAUUACAAAAAAAAAAAAAACACAUCUAUUAUCAAACCAGCAAUCCAUGUCUAAACUUAAAUUAACAAAAUUCGCCACGCAACCCGGUACACUAUUAUAUAUAUAUAUACACACACUAGAUUUAUUCUAGAUGCACAUGUUUUAUUAUAUUUAAAAAUUAAAAUAUAUGGUUGACUAAGAUUUAGUUGAGUUAGUAUUGAUAUUAUUGUCAGUGUAGAAAAAUGUGAGUUUAAUCGUGCUCAAAUGUGUUUUAUCCUCCAAUUCAAGGGUUAGGAAAAGGUUAUUGAUAAUUAAAUUGUAUCAACUUUUAUGAUAUUAAAAAAAAAGGAUUUAUAAAUAAUAUAAGGAAAAGAAAAAAAGAGAGAAACAUAUUCAUAUUGAUGGGCUCUUUCAAUAUUAGACUUUUUUUUUCUAUCACAAGUAAAAAAAUCAAAGGUGAUAAUAAUUAAAUUAAAAUUUUUAAAUUAAAAAAAUAGGGGAUUGAAUUUAUAACUUUUAAAAUAUAAAGAAUGAAUUUAUAAGUAACAACAUAUUUUAACCACAUAAUAAAAGAAGUUAUGGAGAGGAUCAUGUAAAAUAAUGACCUGAAUAAUUUUAAACCUCUCAUCAUUGCAAAAAUGAAAUAAUAGAAAAGAAAUAAGUGUUGGGUGUAGUGGCAAGGUACAUUAUACUUCUAAGGGGAGAUCAGGGUUUUAGACAAGGGAAGAAUUUUAAACCUACUUUUUUCUCUAGAACUCAAUCCAAACCUCAAAUUUAUCUUUUUAAAAGAAUUUUAAAAUAUCUAUAUAAAAGGUGAUUUUUUUACGGAUCACACUUAACAAAAUUUUAAUUUUUUUUUGAAAUUUAAAGUGAUCUAAAAACAUAUUUUUAAGUGCUUUAGAUCAUCCUGUGCUAAUUUCUUUAUUAAAUUAAUUUGUUCAAUAUAGAUUUUGGUGACUUAAAACAAAAUUAAUAAAAAUUUAUUUUUUUCAGAUAUCUUUUUAAUGUUUAAUAAUAAGUUAAUUUAUAAAAUAUACUUUCAUUGGACGCAGGCCUCCAAGGCGGCGAACCACUGCUCAAAUUAAUUUAGAGAUACCUAAAUAUGUUUUCAUCAAUUAAGAAAUUAAAAAAAUUGUUGAGACCUCAUGAUUAUCUUUUAUAAUUUCAGGCUGAUCAACUAUUUUGAAAACAAAACGUCUUACACCAAAAACUAAAAAAUAAAAACGUCGACAUUAAAUUUGUUGGUAUGCAAUCAAUUUUAAGAUGGUUUUUGGAGUUAUAUAUCACCUUAGCAUUGACUUACUUUUCUACUCUUAGUCUUCUCCAACAAGUUAAAUAUUUCAAUUUUAACAACAUUGACAGGUAUUUGGGGUAGGGUCGAGCAAAAUUCAAUAGAAAUAGAUGAUAUACGUUGAGUUGGCUCGGCCAAGUCGAGUCGAGUUGUUCAAAUUAGUUAAAUUAGUAAAUUUUAGGGUGCAGUUAGAAUUUUUUGUUUUGAGAUGCUAAGAUUAAAAAAUUUCAGUUGCUAAAACAAAAAAUUUGUAUUUAAAAAGGCAUAAAUUAAAUAAUUAAGUUUUUCAAGUUUCCAUUUAAUCAAAGGUUAAAAGGACUAAAUUGAAGCUUUUUAUUUUUAAGAAAGGCUGAAUGCCAAAUUGCCCAAAGCCCAUGCCCCUAGCUAUACAACUAACUUUUCUAUGAUUAGUCCUUGGUUUGCUUUGGGUGGAAUCUUCCAACUAGCCUCAUCCUUGGUUUUACUUUCCAACAAUUAGUGUAUCACGAGUUUUGUUUUCUUUAAAAAAUAUUUUUGUGGAUAUUAGGAGAUAAUGAAAAUUAUUUUACUAUGAAAUUUUAAUAAAACUGGAAAAUAAGUAAUUUAUUUUAAGAGAUCACAAUUAAACGUUAGAUUUCCAAUUUUUAAAUUUUAAAUUUUUUUGACAAUUGCAUAAUAUUUUGAGCAUUGUAGGAUUGCCAUAACCUUCCCUACGCAUAAUCGACUCUUGAGCAUGAUGGAUCCUAGACCUUCUCCUCUAUUUGCGUACCACAAAUUGCUUCGAGUGUGGGUUCGGACAAUCACAAAUUAAACACAAAACCAGAAAUGAUUUAUUACUUUCAAUAGCAACGUAAUUCUCUCUCAAUAGAAACCAAUAAAAUUGUAAUUCCUAGAAAAUAAAAUUUAUUUUUUGAAAAUAUAUUCUCACUACUUUCUAGCAGAAUAACAAUAUGUGAAACUUAUGUCUUGUGUUAAUAGCUCUACCUGUACUAUCUAUUUAUAGGGAGAGACACGAGAAUCCUGGUUGAAUUAGUAAAACACAAAUAAUAUUUAUUUCAUAGAAAACAAUAUUCCACCCUAAGUGGAUCAAGUUUGUAUGACGCAUGGAUCGAAGCUCAAUCUAGGAGAAAAAAAUAAAGGAAUUUUCUUUGUAAAGAAAAUCUGAGAUUGUACUAUUUUCGAAGAUAUAAAUAAAAUUAUACGCCAAAUUUUCAAGUCAAUUUUCAACUCCAAUUUUGUAUGCACAAAUUUCUAAUACAGUUGGUGGGACAUUCUUUGACUUUUAUCUAUUCGCUCAAAAAGUUGAAGUUCAAAGUUGCAUUAAACUCAAAGAAGAUAAUCAUUAGUAAACCAGCUCACAAGCCUGCUCAAGCUAAUCCUACAACUCGUUCCACUUCAUCAUCAAACACCAAUGUUCUUGCUUAUCCUUAUGGAAUUAAACAGUCCUAUUUUUUGCAUUUUGGGUACACACCUAGUUUUGUUUGAUGCUAAAACAGUCCCCGAGCACUCCAAAGCCUAUAAUUGAACAAAUAACACUAAUUUAAUCUUACAUAACGUGAUCCCAAAUUGAACUUGUAUUGAGGUUUUAACCCAUAAGUGACUAAACCUUACCUUCAACCGAUGAACAGUAAUUACCACACAAACUAAGACUCCGAUUGGCGAUUACGAGCCCUUGAAUCCUCUCCUAAUUGGCAUAAACAAAACACUUCAGAAGAAAGUUAACAAACAUAGACAAAUCACUUAUCUAAAACUUAUCGAACAAUCACAGACAAACGUGGAGCGACACAAGGUAGAGUGGGAAAAGAAAAAUCAAGAGGAUGAAAGGUGAAAAAGAGCAGAAAUUCGGCAGCAAUGAAAAGAAAAACGGUAAAAGGGUGAAGGGAUUUUGGGGAAAGUAAAAAAAAAAAAAGAUGAACAGAAUAUUUGAUAACCACCCCAAUCCCUUAUUUCUCUCCAUCAAAUUCCCCACUAAAUCCACUACUCGAAUUUUUAGUCCAUCUCAAACUCUCCUAGACGAACAAGCAAAAAAUAAUGCCCAUGUCAAGAUUUGAGCACAGGACCUCCCUCACACCAACACUCCACUUAUCCACCAGACCAACAGACUCAUUCUUUUAAUUAUUUGCCAACUUUUACUUAAAAGCCUACUGACCAAAUAUAGGGCUUAUUCAUAAAAAUACCAAAUUUUGCCCAAGUCCUGGCUUGAACUUGCAACCUCCCAAACACACCUAGAACACAUAACCACUAAAGCAGACAAAAAUUUUGUGUCACACAUUCACAAUACCCAAAAUUAAAAAUUUGGGGCGUUACAAAGACACAUUAAAUAAUAUCGCAUAAAACAAUCACAGUCAAAUAACAGUUCAGAAUGUCGGCUUUACAAUUUAACCACCAAUAGUAUAACAGUAUUCACAGUUGUAAUUUCAGAAUAUCAGAUUUCCACAUCAUUCACAAUAUUCACACAUAUAUAAAUAUAUCACAAUAGAAUUCCAGAUUUGUAUGCACAUGAUUUAAAAGAUGCCAUACAAUUUUGGGUUUUAAUAGAAUAAAUCCUACCCCCUGUUACAUACCAUAAUGGGAGUUCCCCUAAACUCCCUUCUCCAACACACUAGAUUGUGGAUAAACCAUUAUUGUUUCACAAAUAAUAACUGCCAUUUGGCUGUGGACACACAGUAAGUUCCCACAAUUGGAUUCUAGAUUUGGUUGUGGGUUCACAGCAAAAAAAAUCCUACAAAUGAAGCCUGAUUUUGCCUGUAGAUUAUACAACAUAUACCCGCAGUUGGAACCUGUCUUUAGCUGUGGAUGCACUGUAACACCUCAAACCCGACCUGGACGUUAUGGCUGAAUCUUGAGGAUUUACUUUAACUCGCUAGAAAACCCACGAAUUUACUUUGAAAUCAUGUGGUUAAACUAGUGUUCACUUUGAUAAAUCGUUUUCCAGUUUUAGAGAAAAUUCUUGUUAAAACUGUUACUUUAUUACAAUAAAACAUUAAAGUAAUUGUAUCAUUUUGUAGUGGAAUCUACUAAGCUAUAAGGUUUUGAAAAUCGUGGUUUAGUUUGCAACAAACCAUUUUGCAAAUAGAGAUGUGUUACGAAAAAAAGUUUAUAAAACGACUUCAUUGUUAUUGGCAAAUCAUCAUAACCAUUAUUACUUAGUAUGUCUGAUUUGUUUGGAAAACUUAUUGAUAUACUUAUUUUAUUUAAAAUCAUUGCUCGCUUAUGCCUUUUUAUUAAACUGAAUGUUUUGCAGCGGAGUUUCUUUAAAACGUCAUAUUUUGGCAAAUCAAAUUGUUUCUUGAAAACCGUUAUUUUAGAAAAGUUUUCAUUUUCAGAAAAAUUAUUUUAUCAGUUGUUACGCUGAGAAAACCAACAUAAAAUCCAAAACCAAAAAUAGUCCCAAAAAGUCUAGAGUGUCCCAAAAUGACAAUACUCUCAAAACUAGACAAGUUUAAACUAAUUUUAAAAGAAUGAAAUUUUACAAAAAUGUGGUCACCACUGAGCUUCCAUCGCACCGACCCACCUAAAUCUGAGGGUUACUUGAACAGACCAAACAAACAGAGAGUGAGUUUUGAAACUUAGUGUGUAACGCGUAUAUAAACAAAAAUUCAGAAUCAAUCUCAUGCAGAACAGAUACAAAUGUAAACCUUUUAUAAAAUCAGAAUUAUACAAAUACAAAUAUAUAACAUCCUACCUCAUCCUCUACAUACCAACUCCGACCAUCCCAUUACACCACGUGGGGUAUAAAAUACCCAUCCAGCCCUACACAUCGUAUAGUGUUUAUAUGACACUUUUUUGAAUAAUCACAGCAGAGUUGCCAGUAUAUAGGCGAGAUAUCACCUCACACAGAACACUUCCUCCUCAUAAUACAAAUCCUGCCCCAUGGCCAGAUACAGACAGAAUAUCAUGUAAAACAAAUUAACAGAUACCAGAGUUAACAUAUCACGCGUGAGCGUAUAAUAGAUAUUACACAUGUUUAUGCAUAACAAAACAAAUCAUACAUACUGUAUUCCAUAAUACUCAUAUAAAUGUUAUUUACGUCAAUCUCAAUCUAACAGAGUAGCAGAUUUCAUUCUUUAACGCUUAUACCACACAUAUAGACCCUACGGAUGGCCCAUAGUCGAUCGAGACGACAUGCAUGUCCCUAGGGAAAAAAAUUGUAAUUUGGGCCCACAUGCCUAUAUGAGCCCACACGCCCAACAUGGCCUUGCCUAUGUGGCUCACCAACCUAGCACUCAGCCCAUACAGUCUAAAAUGGCCUAGUUCAUGUGUCACACACAGCCGUCUGUUGCACACGGCCUACCACAUAGCCAGUCACAAAACCGUUUGGAGUUGACAAGCCCAAUUUUUGGCUUUCGUCGAUCGUCGUUUUCUUGCGUUUUCAUUACACACCUGGUUUGAUUCUGACGCAAAAGCAACCCCAAGUCCACCGAAACCUAAAAAUAGCAUUCCAACGCCCAAUUUCAGUGAACAUUUACAAAACUCAAACAAAAACUAUCCAAAAAUAUAGCCUCACAAUAGCAUCCAACGCACUCGCACACUUACCGUCAACGAACAGGAAACACCCAAAACUCAAUUCGUUGGAGGAGAACCAAUUAUGAUAAUGCAAAAAUUUUAUUGAUUCUCAACACUAUCGAUCCGAAGGUAAGAUUGAUGCUUUCCAAUUAUGAUAAUGCGAAAAUUUUGUGGGAUGGUUUACCUGAAUUUUUUGUUGUUGUCAACGAUCAACGUAUUCAACAAUUAAAAGAAAAUAUUAGUCGUUGUGAGUAAAUCAAGACUAUGAGUGUUGUAGUUUUUUUCAGUAAAUUAAAGGUUUUGUGAGAUGAACUAGAUAAUAAUGAACCUUUGAUUUGUUGCAAGUGUGGACAAUGUUUAUGUAACUUAGGGAAGGCGCAUGAGCAACGUCGUGAGCAUGAUUGACUUCAUCAAUUACUUCUUGCUCUCUAUUCUAAUUGUUAUGCUCAAAUUAGGUCUACAUUGUUUUACCAAGAUCCUUUGCCUUCCUUAAAUCAGGCAUUCCAGCAAAUUACUUAGGAGGAACAUGUACGUGGAAUUACACUGAUUAAGGAAGAGAAGUCUGAUAUUUUAGGCUUUGCUGUGCGUACAGAGGGUCAUAACAAAGGUUGAGCUAAUUGUAUUGAUAAGUCAACCUUGUUGUGCACUCAUUGCCAUCGCAAAAGGCAUGAGUUGGCUACCUAUUUUGAAUUACAUAGCCACUUGGAUUGGUGGCUUAAGAAGUAUGGGAAGCCAGAGAUGAAAAGUGAUGAUCGUGGUGGUAAGACAAGUGCCACAUCUUCCACGUAAGUGUUUUAUUUCAAGGGAUCAAAAUUAAACAUUAGAUUUCUCAUUUUUAAUUUUUUUUUAUAUUUUCAACAACAACGUAAUUAACGAGUACCAAUUUUGGGUGUUGUAGGGGUUCUAUAACUUUCCCUAUAUGUAAUCGACUCUUGCACCCAUUUUUUUUUCUCUAGAAUUCAAUGCAAACCUUAAAUUAUCCUUUUAAAAGAAUUUUAAAAUCUCUUUAUAAAAGACAAUUUUUUUAGGUGACCAAUCACACUUAAGAAAAACAAAUCGAUGGCAACUCUUUUCCGAUAAGUGUAAAAAACUUUUAAACAAAAUAAGGUUGAAAUAAUCUAGUUGUCGUUAUACUUUGAUAAAGUUUUGGAUUUAGUCCUUAUACUUAAAAGGUUAAAAAUUAAGUCUUGUUUUUAUUUAAAAAUCUUAGUCCUAUAGUUAAUUUUUUUUUUUUGCAAAAUUUUUCAAGUUGACAUAUUAAUUAGGUUUCUCUUAUAUAUCGUGGUAUAUGACUAACACAAAAUAAACAAGUUGACAAAUUCUAUAAAAAAUAUCAAAGAUGAUAAUAGUUUAAUUAAAAUUUUUAAAUUGAAAAAGAAAGGGAUUAAAUUUAUAACUUUUAAAGUACAAAGAAUGAACUUAUUGAAAUACAAGAACUAACAACAUAUUUUAAAAUAUUACUAGUAAAUUAUAUAUCUACAACAAGAAUUGUAACCUCUUAUAUUAUAUUCUUGUAUCUAUUUUUGCAUCUUUCAUUAUAAUAUGAUUUAUUAAUAUUAAUAUUUUUAUAGAAUAAUAUACUUUAAAUAAUUUUUGUAUCAUUUAUAAAAAUUAUAAUAAACUUACAAAAUAAUUUAAUGAUAUUUAAUUAUUAACCGAAUAAAAUGAUAUCAUAUAUAUUCUGUAUAUAUUAAGAUUUCGAAUCAUUAAUUAUAUAUCUACACAUUAUAAUAAAUUCAUCUUUCAAAAUUUUCCUUCUAAUUAAAGCAUAAAUUAUAUUUAUAAUAUUAUAAAUAUAUUAUAUCAUAAAUAUUCUUUCAAAUAUUUUUUAAUGUUUAAUAAUAAGUUAAUCUAUAAAAUAUUCUUUUAGUAAAUUAACGUGAUGAGAUCGUUAGGUGCUUGGAUUUGGUGAAGAGGGAUGAAGAGAAAAGGGAUGGAAGUGAAUAAAAAUGUUGAGAAAUGGAAAGGGUUAGCGAGGGAAGCCGCCAUGAAAGGUGGUUCAAUGGAUAUAAACCUUCAAGCUUUUGUGGACGACGUUACUGAAGGUUGUUGCAAGUAAAUUUAAAAAAAAAAUUUAAAUUAUUUUUUUGUUAAAAAACAUUUUUUAUUUUUUAUGUGGCCCCAUAUGGAGUUGUUCUAAUCGCUGAAUGAUAGGUGGUAUUAUACCACCACUCAGCCAAUGGUAGCCAAGACACCCAUGUUGAUGGCUUUUCACCCACCAUACACUGUAGGUAACCUCCAAACACUUGUUCAAAAUUUCAGUCUGGCCAUCUGUUUAAGGGUGGUAAGAUGUUGACUUCUUCAGCUUGCUGCCCAUUUACUUAAACAAUUCCUUCCAAAAUUGACUCAAGAAGAUUUUUUCCUGAUCAGAAACAAUAGAGUUAGGAAUCCCAUGGAGUUUGUAUAGGUGGGUUAGGUACUCCUAAGCCACAGUAAGAGUAGUGAAAGGAUGAGCCAAUGCCACAAAGUGACCAUAUUAGGUCAAACAGUCAACCACGACAAAAUCUGUUGAUUUCCCUUGUGAUAGUGGCAGUCCUUUGACAAAAUCCAUACUAAUAUCUAUCCAAGCUCGUUCAGGAAUCGGUAAUGGUUGCAACAGACUAGGCGAGGCCGCAUUAUCGGGUUUGCAAUGCUGACAAAUAAUACAUUCUCGGACCCACUGUUUGAUGUCUGUAGAAAGUCCUUUCUAAUAAAACAAAGCAACUACCCAUUGGUGAGUGGCAUGAACCCCCGAAUGGCCACCCAUAGGAGUAUCAUGAAAAAUCCUAAAAAUAUGCUUACGUAGUGAAAUAUCAUCACCAACUACCACUUUGCCCCUCCUGCGCAAAUAGUUACCAUGCCAUGAGUAUUUUGAAUGUAAAUGUGGCUGAGUACGUACCUGAGUACUCAACCUAGAGAGCUUCUUAUCAAUUCCAUAUAUGGCUAUAAUUUGCUCCCAAACUUUUGACCUGACCAAAUCUGUACUCUCCUCACACUGAAGCAACUAACCUAUAGAGUCAAUGGGUUUCCUGGACAGUGCAUCUACAACAGCAUUUUAAGUCCCUUUGCAAUAAACAAUUGAAUAGUCAUAACCCAACAUUUUUGCCACCUAUUUCUGCUGAUAAGGAGUGAUGAAUUGUUGUUCAGACAAAAACUUCAAACUUUGAUGGUCUGUUUUAAUGAUAAAGUGUCUACCCACAAGGUAGGAGUGCCACUUCUUGACUGCCAACAACAUUGCCAUUAUUUCCUUAUCAUAGAUGGACAAGGCUUGGUUUUUAACUCCCAAUGACUUGCUAAAAAAGGCCACUGGUUUCCCAUUCUGUUGAAGAACUACCCCAACUCCCUGACCACUAGCGUCUAUUUUCACACAACAUAGCUCUUGAAAGUUUGGUAAGGUCAACACUGGAGCUUACCAAAUGGCUGUUUUGAGCUGCGCAAAAGCUGUUUGUUCUUGUUCUGCCUAAUGCUAGGAGACCUCCUUCCGUAAUAAGGCAGUAAGAGGUUUAGCCAUCAUCUCAUAUCCAUGUAUAAAUCACCUAUAUUACCUUGAUAACCUAAGAAACCCUCGUAAUUCCUUGACUAAACGAGGAGGAGGCCAGUCUAAAACAUUAUCGAGCUUAACUCGAUCCAUGCAAAUAGUACCUUGAGGGAUCACAUGUCCCAAGUACUCCACGUGUGUGGCUCCAAAAACACACUUGGACUUCUUAGCAUACAGUUGGUUUGUCCGUAACACUUGUAAAACCUCAUGCAAAUGACUUAAAUGAUCAGACCAACCUCGAAAGUACACAAGGAUAUCAUCAAAAAAUACAAUAACUGACAUUCUCAACAUGGAUCGAAAAUUUGAGUUUAUCAACGACUGAAAGCUUGAAAGGGCAUUGGUCAAGCCAAAUGGCAUGACCAAAAAUUCAUAAUGUCCCUCAUGGGUUUUGAAAGUUGUCUUGAAGAUACCUUGCUCACACAUACGAAUUUGAUGUUAUCCAGAACUUAAAUCCAGCUUAGAAAAAUAUUGAGCUUGCCCCAAUUCAUCCAGCAACUCUUUGAUAAUGAGAAUAGGGAACCUGUCCUUGACUGUUAACUAAUUAAGUUGCCUAUAGUCGAUACAGAGUCAACAACUUCCAUCCUUCUUCUUGACCAUGACCACUGGGAAGCAAAAUGACUAUUACUAUCCCGAAUAAUUCCAGCUUGCAACAUUUCCUAGACUAUCUUUUCUAUCUUAGUCUUUUGGACAGCCAAAUAUCUGUAAGCUCUCACUUUGACCACCUUAGAUUCGUCCACCAAGUGCAUUUUAUGGUCGUGUAAUCGAGGAGGGGGUAAAUGUGUAGGGACCUGAAAGAUAUCAUCAAAGUCAGGCAAAAGUCUUUGCAAGUUUGGUGGUAGCUCAGUUGAUUGCAUUGUGAGAAUAGUUUGAUCAUAGGAAGCCAGUAGCAUCGGACAUGGUCCAUUGCCCACCAAACUCAUACACUUAGAAAAUUCUCCACUAGGAUCAAUAUGCACUAAACCUGGUAUUGUACCUCUCAGCAUACAAGUCUAAUCCCCAUACUUGAAUUGCAUAGUUAAAUUGGAGAAGUCCCACACAAUUGGCCCCAACAAUAGCAACCAUUGAACACCAAGUACUAGGCCGAAUCCUUUUAUAGAUAACACUAAAAAGUUUGUAGUGCAUUUGUACCCCUAUGCCUCCCACAUUACAGCUCUGGAUAACCCCUGAGUAUAUUGUCUGACUACAUUGGCUACCAACACCCGCAAGCUUGGCUCGGGUUCAAUGGUCAAUUUCAGUCUUCUCGCCACCUUUAAGUCAAUGAAAUUAUGCGUGGUACCUGAGUCAACUAGGACCACCACUUGAGAUUGGUUAGUAACCGCUGGAAAUCUCAUAGUGGUAUGACCCUGUAAUCCUUGCAGCGCUCGUAAUGACAACACAGGUGUCGAAUUCCCUGGUAACACUUUUGUCGGUUCCAAUUGCUCGGUACAGUCCUGAAAUUCGUCAAGAGAAGGGCUCAUUGCUUCAGUUUCAAUAUCUCAUGAUGAUUCAACAAUCCACUGAUGCAUUUGGUAUUUCAAGCAUUUAUGGCUUGGUGACUAUUUUAGACCGUACCAAAAAUAAUGGCCUUUUUCCCUCCUAUCUUCUAAUUCCGUCUGAGACAAAGACUUAGAAGUAAUUCGAGAGCUUAAUUUCCCAUUCACUGUCUCACUCGCAAAACCAACACUACCACCUCCUUGUUGACCUCUAGGCAUGGGAAAUAAGGGCCGCACUAAGUUAGAUCCGUUGUUAAGAGUGCCUUCUUUUUUGAUCGGUCCAGCCACAAUAUUCUCCACUUGCCUUGCUGAAUGGUACCUUUCCACCAAUGUUUGAGGUUUAAACAACCUAAGAUAUUGGCCUAUUUUGGGUUUGAGGUUGCUAAGAAACCUCCCAAGACAGUUGAUCUAGGAACGAGUCUGCUUGAGAGACACUAACUCUGCCAUAGGAUCUAGGAACGAGUCUGACCCAAAACGUUCUCUAAGGCACCUCGAAUAAACCUCCCAAGACAGUUGAUGUACCCCCAUGCCUUCGCACAAAAAAAUGGUGCCAGUCAAGUGCCUUACCUUUGAGGUGUAGCAUGACUAUCUGGAUCUUUGAAUGGUCACCAAUUCCUUCUGCCUCAAAAUACUGUUCAAGCUUGGACCACUAACCAUAAAAAUGCUUACCAUUAAAAUGCGAACUGCCAACCCGAAAAGAGGAUCGUUCAGACUCCAUCAUAACUGCUCGUGAAGAUAUGCUUGAAUGGCUGAGAUCCACCAUUGGGGACACUAUUAAGUGUCCCUGAGUUCGAAACCCAAGUGGUGACCCCAAAACCCUUUUGCCCUUGCUGUUCACUGUAUUUCCUACAGUUGUUGGCUGUCCUUGUCCAAAAUACCGCUCGAACAAAGAAUGAAGCUCAGGACAGAGCUCUAAAUGUACCUCUGACUUGAUCUCUGCCUAAAGGUCUUUUAGUCGAGUGUCUAUCUGUGCAUCCAACUGAGACAACUCCAAUUGCAUGUGAGAAAGCUCACCUUGAAUCUACCCAAUUUCCUUCUACAUUCUAGUGGUUAUACCGUCACCAAUCAUGAGGAUCGGAAAGGUCUGAUACCUUUGUUAUGGCUUGGAUCUGGAGGAGACGAAGCAACAGAAACAGAAAAGAAAAUUUGAGAAGAAGGGAACUAGAGAGAAAUUUGAGAGAGAGACUGAGAAGUAAACAGUUAUCAAAUUCAUAUCUUUCUUCAGUUAGUUACAGACAAUAUAAUAACCCAGUAAUAGCAAUUCUUCUGACUAGCCAAAACGCACCCGUUUCAACUAGACGAAACUCAUCGUUUCAUUAACUCAUACGUAAAACGCAAUGUUUAACUAAUUAAUUUUUAACAGUCUUUAAGUAAAAUAUAAAAGGAAAAAUGAUCGUUGUUUAAAACCAUAACACAUUUAUUUUGUAGGUACAGUCAGUUGGAGGCGAAGAUACACGUGUGGGGAGAGCAGAGGCGCGUGGCGUGCGUGGGAGGGCCUGGUUCCAGCUGCGGCGCAGUCUAGUUAGGGUUUCCAAUUUUUUUGGGUUAUUGGGCUAGGGUGUAUUGGGCUAAUUGGUUUGUUUUGGGUCUAGGAUUGGGUUAUAUUUUGGGUUUAGGUUAUUAGGCUUUGGAUUUUGGGCCAUAAGGGCCUAUUGUAACUGGACUUUUAUGGUUUGUUUUUUAUUUGGUUUUAUUAUUUGUAUUUGUUGAAUUGGGCCCGGGCUAAAAUUAGGCCCUACAAUCGACAUGUUUUUUAGUAGGGUCGAUCAAAACCCAAUUAAAACCGAUGAUAUUGGCUUAGUUGACUCGGUCAAGUCUAUUAGAUUGAUAAAACCAAUUUACAUACGAUUAUUUAUUAUCAUAAAAGGUUAGUUUAAAUUUAAAGUAAUCUAAUAUGUUUAUUGAACUUCAACUAUUAAAUAAAGUAUAAGCUAAAUAUGUGUAAAUAUUCUAGAAACCAUUUCUAUAUGAUGAUAGGCUAAUUCGGAAUUAAGAUUAAUAUAUAAAAACUAGAUAGUAGGGUUAUAGUCCUCAAACUACACUUAAUUUAAUAACAUUUACAUUUUUUUUAGCNNNNNNNNNNNNNNNNNNNNNNNNNNNNNNNNNNNNNNNNNNNNNNNNNNNNNNNNNNNNNNNNNNNNNNNNNNNNNNNNNNNNNNNNNNNNNNNNNNNNAAAAAUUGGAAAAAUAUUUUAAAAUUUAAUUUUUUUUCGUAUUUUUAAUAACAUUUAUAGUUUUUUCUGUGGUUUGGUAACUUAUCAACUCGACUCUUAAUUGUAAUAAACUUUCUGACCAUUUUUGUAUUGUUAACCUAAGUCCCGUUACAACUUUCUUAAGACCUAUUGAUUGGUGUAUCAUCUCGAUUUGUUUUUAUAGUGGUGGAGAUUUGGUUUUCAAGCAAGCCUAUGAUAAUAACAUUUUUUGUUCAACUGUUGAGUACAUAGUACUUGAACCUUAAACACUUUGAGUGCUUUGAGUGAAUCUUAGUUAGGGUAUUGAUUAUUGUUAAGUUUGAAUUUCAGGUAAUUAUUGAGAUAGAGGAGACGCCUAUGUUUUUUGUGCUUUAAAAAUUUCUGCUUAGAUUGCUUUUAUUCUUUAGUGACAUGCUAGUUUCAAUUUCCAGUGCAUGAUUAUCUGUAGAUUAUUCCUAAGGCAUUGUCGGUGAAAACAAUAAAUUGAAGGAGAUUAACUUGAAUAAGGGUUGAGAAUUUUGCUUAAUGACAAACAAAUGCUUAAUUGUGGGGAUAUUUGAUAAGUGCUAAAUUGAUAUGUUUUAACCUUAUUCUUAAUGUGUUUUUGGUUGAUUAUUCGAUCUUAAUUAUGCUCCUAAUCCUUUCAAUACGUGUUUUUAUGCUUAAUAGAACAUUUGGGAGGAAAAUGAGCGAAAAAUGAGUGAAAAACAAAAAAUGGGGGAAAACAAUAGGACCCACACAGGCUGACCUAUUACACAUGUGGCAGGCCAUGCCGAUUUCGUAGAUUUACACUCUGAAUUGCAAAAAAUUUGAAUUUUAGGUUUUUUGAGCAUUUUAAGACGUAUAUAUCAGAAUUUAAUAAGAUAGGAGAGAACCUUGCUAGAAUAUUUAAGACACACCCAAGACACAACCCGACCUUAUAAAACCUCAAUCUCAUUUAAUUAUUAGUUAUUUAUUAAUGCAGAAGUAAAUUAUGAGUCAAUUUUAAAGUUUUCCUAGGUAAUUUAACCUAAGGGCAAUUUCAUCAUUUUACCACUUAUUGUAAAACUAACCUGAUUUUAGAUCUAAGUGUUUACCAUCCUUCUUUUAGUCAAAUUAUGCAAGCCUAAAAUUUUUGGCUUAAUUUGAUUUCGUUUACUUUGUCUAAUUCAAGUUUUAUUAUUAGGGACUAAAUCGUAACUUAGUCAAAUUAGAAUACCAAUUUAAAGAGACAAAAUUUCAAAAUCCCAAAACCCACAUGGGUGUGUGGGUAAGUGACAUGGGUGUGUGGAGACUGGAGCUAUCACACACAAGCGUGUGGGAUUGAAAUAUAUGAAAUAAAUUAAUCCACUCAAUUUUCCAACAACCAUGCUAUACUACCAAACCAAAUAACGCUUGAAGCUUUGAAUAGGGGCGAAUUUUUAAAAAGAAAAAUUUAGAGGAAUCAGAAUUAAAUUAUAAAAUUUUGAGAAGUUAGAAUAUAAUUUUGUCAUGUAUUAAUUUAUUAUUUUUUAAAGGGUCUUAAUAGAAAUUUUUUUUCCCAUUUUGGUUAGGCCAAUACCCCUGCCUACCUCUUUAAAUUUGCUCCAACCCUAAACCCAAUAUUUGAGUUGGAUUAACAACAAUAUAUAGGUUAGUAUUUGUGGAAGUUUGACGAAGAAAAUUUUUUUAGAGGUUUAAAUUAUAAUUUUUGGAAAGAUUAAAAUAAAUUUUUAUUUUUAAUUACCUUUCGGAUCAUACGGGUGAUUUUGAUGAUUUAAAAAUUAAAUACUUUAUAAAAUAUUUAAAACUAUUUAAAAAAUUGUAAGCCUUCAAACAAUCAACAAGAUAUAUUUUUCUCUAAAAGAUCAAUAAAAGUAUGUUUGAAAUUUUAUAUGAAUUUUUAAACUUUUUAACAAUAAUAUAUUUUAAAAUUAUAUACACCUUUCUUCACCUUUUUUAUAUAAACCUUUUUUCACCUUUUUUAUGUACACCUUUUUUAUAUUUUUUUCCUAACAUAUCAUUAUUUUCAACACUAUCGUAAUCCUUUUUUGAUAAUUCCCUUUCCAUACAUCCUUUUUCAACAUAGAAUUUCAAGAGAAAAUGUGAAUUAAUGUAGACGUGAGAAGACUUAGAGGUAAGUCACCCAAUGAAAGUGACCUAAACCGACUUAUGGAAUAAUCAAGAGUAUUAUUUUAGUCUUUGUCUUAGGUAUGAAUGAUAUCUUCUAGAUUGAAGCUAGAGCGAUUCUUAAAUGAUUGAAAUUGACUUGGAUUAAAGGAUUCAGAUGUGUUGAGAUGGAAAGUGACAGUGCAAUGUUGAUUGAAACUAUUCGUAAUGGGUUGGCCGCAGUAAGUAGUGUUGCUAAAGUAAGAUUGAUUCACGAUUGGUGUUCCAAAAAUUGGUAAGUCAAAUUAUUGACAUAUUCAGCAAAAUGCCAAUAAAGUUGUUGAUUGCAUAACUAAGGCAGAUGGAGGCGUAAUUGAGCAGCUGGUUAUCUUGAAAGAUCCUCCGCAUUAUGUGAGAUGCUAGCUUGAAGAAGAUAUUACACAGUUGCUGGUGAUUGAUGAUAGUUUUCAUUUGGACUGAUGCUCGCUUAAUUUUCUAAGCUUAUGUUCAACCAAAAAAAAAAAAGUCUAAAUUGUAAUAGAAUUAACAUUUAGUGUAUAAAAAAUAUCUUCAAAUUUUUUUUCAAUUGAAGUUUAAUUCCACAAAUAUCGAUGAUGAACCCUAAAAUGGACAUGAAAAUUACAAAAAGAAAAAGAAAAAACACAUCUAUUAUCAAACUAGCAAUCUAUGUCUAAACUUAAAUUAACAAAAUUCAUCAUGCAACCCAGUACACUAUUUUAUAUAAUAUAUAUGCUAGAUUUAUUCUAGAUGCACAUAUUUUAUUAUAUGUCUAUUACCAAAUUAGUAACCCAUCCCAAGGCUUAAACUAACAAAAUUCACCAUGCAACCGUGUAGACUAUUUUAUAUACAUAUAUACUAUAUUUAUUCUUCAUGCAAAUGUUUAUUAUAUUUAAAAAUUAAAAUAUAUGGUUGAUUGAGUUUUAGUUGAAUUAAUAUCGAUAUUGUUAUCAGUACAGAAGAACAUGAGUUCAAUCAUGUUUAAGCACGUUUUAUCUUUCAAUUUAGGAGUUGGAGAGGAUUCUCAAUAGUUAAAUUAUAUCAGUUUUUGUCUACUUAAAAAUGAUUUAUAAAUAAUAUAAGUAAAAAAAUUUUAAAAAUACAUAUUCAUAUUCAUGGGCUUUUUCAUUAUUAGACUUUUCUCCCCACAGGUAAAAGAAUUUAUGGACAGGAUGAUGUAAAAUUAUGACCUGAAUAAUUUUAAACCUUCCAUCACUGCAAAAAUGAAAUAAUAGAAAUGANNNNNNNNNNNNNNNNNNNNNNNNNNNNNNNNNNNNNNNNNNNNNNNNNNNNNNNNNNNNNNNNNNNNNNNNNNNNNNNNNNNNNNNNNNNNNNNNNNNNNNNNNNNNNNNNNNNNNNNNNNNNNNNNNNNNNNNNNNNNNNNNNNNNNNNNNNNNNNNNNNNNNNNNNNNNNNNNGGUUAUACUUUAAUUAUUGAGAACAUUUUCCACAAUUUGCCAUCAUUAUUUGUGAGUGAUUUGUGGGGUAAAAGGUUGAACACUUCUGGAUCACAUUGCGUUUAAGACGGGUCGUUGGAGUUAUGUGACACUUAAACAUAGACUGACUUUUCUAUAAUUAGUCUUUGCUUUACUUUGGGUGGAUUCGUCCAACCAGUCCAAGAAUUAUUGUAAAAUCACAAUUAAUCUUCUUAAAUGAGACUAACAUUUCAAAUUUGUCAUCACUAUUUGUGAGUGAUUUGGGGGUAAGAAGUUUAACACUUCUGGAUGACUUAAAGAAUUGUGGGUCUCUAUUUGAGCAAAACAAUUUCAACAUUUCCUCGUCUCGUUUAAUCCAAAUUCAUUUAGGAUUUUCUUAUAUCAUUUUAAUUUAUUGAUUGUUUCAAAAACGAUAAUAAAAAAUUUUCUGUUUCACAUUCAAUUUUUGGACAAGAAGAAUUUUCUAACCUAUUUUAUAUCAACUUCACUUCAAUUUUCAAUCACAAUCAAUUGCAUUCAAAAGAACCACAUAUUUUUGAAUGAAACAAAUAUUUCAAUUUUAAGAUAAACGGGUCUUUAGGGUUAUUAAUUGAGGGCCUUUUCCGCAAUUCCCAUCGUUAUUUGCUGAUUGGGUUACAACAAUCGUUUGAAGUGAAGAUAUUUCAAAAGAAGAUGAAUACUUUACUAAUAAGNNNNNNNNNNNNNNNNNNNNNNNNNNNNNNNNNNNNNNNNNNNNNNNNNNNNNNNNNNNNNNNNNNNNNNNNNNNNNNNNNNNNNNNNNNNNNNNNNNNNNNNNNNNNNNNNNNNNNNNNNNNNNNNNNNNNNNNNNNNNNNNNNNNNNNNNNNNNNNNNNNNNNNNNNNNNNNNNNNNNNNNNNNNNNNNNNNNNNNNNNNNNNNNNNNNNNNNNNNNNNNNNNNNNNNNNNNNNNNNNNNNNNNNNNNNNNNNNNNNNNNNNNNNNNNNNNNNNNNNNNNNNNNNNNNNNNNNNNNNNNNNNNNNNNNNNNNNNNNNNNNNNNNNNNNNNNNNNNNNNNNNNNNNNNNNNNNNNNNNNNNNNNNNNNNNNNNNNNNNNNNNNNNNNNNNNNNNNNNNNNNNNNNNNNNNNNNNNNNNNNNNNNNNNNNNNNNNNNNNNNNNNNNNNNNNNNNNNNNNNNNNNNNNNNNNNNNNNNNNNNNNNNNNNNNNNNNNNNNNNNNNCUUCUCUUAUGCUCCUUCCAGCUUCUUGCUUUUUGUGUGCUGAAAAUUCAAAGGAACAAAAUAUCAACCUACAUCAUAAGGCACGAAGGCCAGAACUUUAAUUUCUAGCCCGUCCGAUCCAAUGAAAGAAGAACAAAGAGUCUUGAGAUCUGACAACUUUAUUUCAUCUUCAUUUUCUCUGUUAUUUUCUAUGUUUCUUGUCAAAUACAAUGAAAGAAGAACAUAGAAAAAUGUUGCCUAUUUAUUUCCCAAUCAUCAUGAAAUUACUUGCCAUAGACUUAGAAUUUUCUCACCAAUUUUCAAGCAAUCUGACAUGAUUUCUCAAUCACAAAUAAUUGAAUUCAAGAUCUUUUUGGAUGACACAAACAUUUCAAUUUUAACACAAACCAAUAUUUAGGUUAUACUUCAGUGCUUGACAAGCACUUUCACAUUUGUGGGAUAAGAACCCUAGCAUUUUAGGAUCACAUUUAAUUCAAUUGCAUUUAAGACCUCAUGAUUUUAUUCUAUAAUUUCAGUCUUUUCAACCUUUUGGGAAAUAAUAAAAUAUCGACAUUAAACUUCUUGUUGAUGCAUUCAAUUUGAUUUUUUGAGGGGUCGUUGGAGUUAUACGUGACUUUAGCAUUGAUUGACUUUUUUAGAAUUAAUCUUUUAUACCAAUUUAAUAACAUCGACAUGCUGUAAUACCCAAUUUUGCCCCAGGCCUAUAUACUAAUAGAGUAAAACAAAAAAACAGUCCAUUUACAAAUAAAAUAAAUCCAAACCCAAUUGGCCCAAAUACAAAAAACCCUAGUGGCCCAAUAUGACCCAAAAAUUAAACAUUUUUCAGCAGCAAAAAAGGAAGGAAAACCCUAGCUGCCGCCGCCCUAACGGCAGCCAAGUCCUCCUCCGCGCAUGCCAAGCCCCCACGCGCGUGCGCCUCCUCUACAGCCUUCGUACCUGCGGAAAAAGUGGAUCCAAAUAGCAAGCAAACCGCAAAAAUCGCUAACAAUAGCGAGGCAACAGCAAAUAGGAUAGCAGAAAAAAUGGGAUAACAGACGAGAUUUUUGGGGAUUCAUUUUCUUUUAUUUUGUAUUUUCGGCUAUAAAAAGAGCCGAUUGAUUCAUUGUACUGGGGGGGAAGAAAAAAAUAAUCGAAAACAGAAAAAAAUUCCGAAGGUUUACUUCUACUUUCAUUUUAAUGUUUUAUUUUUAUUUUUUAUUUUUAUUCUAACUUUUUUUUUACAUACGAAAUAUAUAUAAAAAAAGGAGGAAAAAACUUACCCUUGAUUUCACCGAAAAAAAGGAGACUUUUGGCCUUCCGGCCGCAGUGGACGGCGGCGCCUUCACUGGCAAACGGCAGCCAACUCGGCAGUAGCUUAUCGGAGGAUGGCCGGCGUCUGGAGAAGUUGAGAGAGAAUUGAGAGUGUUUUUUCUAUUUUUUUUUUGAAGAGAAGAGAAAAUGAGUUUUUUUGUAAAAAAUUUGGCUUAUAUAAAGGUUCAAAACGGCGUCGUUUUGAGCUAGGAUUCCAAUAUCCCAAAACGGCAUCGUUUUGAGGCCGACCCACGCACCGACUCGAUCCGGUCCUAGAUCCGCGUGUUUUAUAGCGUGUGGGAAGUUUGUGGAAAUGAUCCCCUCAUUUUUAUAUCGCGUUUAGAUUGAUCCUUUUGCUUUCUUUAAAUUUAGCCACGCAUUUUAUUUUUAUUUCAAUUUCGUCCGUGCAAGACGCAGCGUUUUGGAUGGCAGGGAUUAUUUUCCCCUUUAGUCCUUCCCUGUUAUUCGCUCAUUCAGUGAAGUCCCUUUCUUUCCAUUUAUUUUCAGAUUUGCCUCAAACUUUUGUUUUUAAGCUUAAUUUAAUCCUUUUUUGUUAUUUGUGCUAUUUUAUUUUUUUUAGUUUAUUAUUAUUAUUAUUAUUAUUAUUGUUGUUGUUGUUGUUGUUAUUAGUAUUAUUACUAUUAUUAUUAUUAUUAUUAUUUUAUUUUUGUUUAUAUUUAUUUACCUAACUUUUUUUUUGUAUUAUGUACUUUUAUUUUAAGGGGUUUUUAUUAUUAUCAUCAUUUCAUUUUUUUUAUGUUAAUCCAAUAGAUUUUUUUUACUGGUUUUAUUUUGUAAAACAUAAUUUAUAUCAAAUUAUUUUCAUUUUGUAUGUUAUGGAUUUCAUAUUAUUAAAGCCAUUAAUUUUAAGUUCUUUCUUUAACAUAUUUGUAUAUAUAUAUUUGUUUAAAUCUAUCUUUAUAAAUAUCUAAUUUAUUUCUUUUAUAUAUUUCGUUAAUUUUAACUUUUAAAUAUAGUAUUAUAUAUAUUAUAAUUUAUAUUAAGUUUCCACUCCAUAUGUAUUAUUUUAAAAAAAAUUAAUAUAUGUAUAUUAUGUUAUGUAUUUUGAUUCUCUUUCUACAAUAUUUACUUUAAAAUGCAUUUCGAUACUUUUAUUUUAAGUAGUUUUUUUUUCUGAUUUAUUUCGAAUUUACAUAUAUGUAAAUACUAUUUGUUUUAAAACAUAAUUUAUUGAUUAUAAUUUCUUCUCUUGUUAUUAAUUUUUAAGUUUUUUUUUAAUUUGAUUAUUAAUUCAUUAAAUUUUUGAAUAUUGAUAUUGAUAUUGGCAUAAUGUAUGAUUGAGAUAAUUGUUGCUAUGCUUGUCUGUAUUUAUCUAUUGAUUAUUUGUUAUUCAUUGGUGUAUAUUAUUUACAAAUUAUCCUUUACGUUGUACGUUAUCAUUCACUCACAUUUUAUUUCAUUUAGAAGGUUGCAUUUGAUUAAAAUAUCGAAAUCAUUUUAUCCACAAGUUUUCAAAAUAUUCGGUAUCCAAGAUUCUCGAGAAGAUUGUGCCCUAACUUACUGGACUUCAAUUUUCCUUGUUGAAUUUAAAUAAACGAGUAUUUCUUUUUCAAUUAAAGCAUAAAAAUUCCAAAUCAAAGCUUAUCUCGACGAUUCAAAACUUUGUGUCCUAGCUCAUUCGAUAUGGCAUUUGGUUAUCUCGAGACGUGGUUUUUAAAUAAAAUCAAAUUCAUGUGUAGUCUUUGGAACUUCAAAGGAUCGUACCCUAACUUACGGCGGCCGAAAGGCCAAAAGUCUCCUUUUUUUUCCGGUGAAAUCAAGGGUAAGUUUUUUCCUCUUUUUUUUUAUAUUUCGUAUGUAAAAAAAUUAGAAUAAAAAUAAAAAUAAAAGAUUAAAAUGAAAGUAGAAGUAAACCUUCGGAAAUUUUUUUCUGUUUUUGAUUUAUUUUUUCUUUUUUUUCCCCCAAUACAAUGAAUCAAUUGGCUCUUUUUAUAGCCGAAAAUACAAAAUAAAAGAAAAUGAAUCCCCAAAAAUCUCGUCUGUUAUCCCAUUUUUUCUGUUAUCCUAUUUGCUAUUGCCUUGCUAUUGUUAGCGAUUUUUGUGGUUUGCUUGCUAUUUGGAUCCGCCUUUUUCGCAGGUACGGAGGCCGUGGAGGAGGCGCACGCGCGCGGGGGCUUGGCAUGCACGGAGGAGGACUUGGCUGCCCUUAGGGCGGCUACAGCUAGGGUUUUCCUUCCCUUUUUGCUGCUAAAAAUGUUUGAUUUUUAGGUCAUAUUGGGCCACUAGGAUUUUUUGUAUUUGGGCUAAUCGGGUUUGGAUUUAUUUUAUUUAUAAAUGGACUGUUUUUUUUGUUUUACUCUAUUAGUGUAUGGGCCUGGGGCAAAAUUGGGUAUUACACAUGUUUUUGGGUAGGGUCGAGCAAAACCCAAUUAAAACCGAUGAUAUUGGUUUAGUUGACUCGGUCAGGUCCAUUAGAUGGAUAAAAUCAAUUUUAAAAUCAGUUAUAAUGGAUUGAGGUAAUUAAUUAUCGAGUAAUGAAAUACAUAAUCAAAUCAAUUGAUUUUGUUAGAAACUACAAGAAAAUGGGAUAAGCUGAAAACUGAUUGCCCUUUAUUAAAAUUAAGGAAUCCGCCUUUUACAUGUUAGAUAAUAUGAACAUCCUAUAUAUAAUAAGAAAAAUUACGUACGAUUAUUUAUUAUUAUAAAUAGUUAGUUUAAAUUUAAAGUAAUCUAAUAUGUUUAUUGAACUUCAAGUAUUAAAUAAAGUAUAAGUUAAAUAUGUAUAAAUAUUCUAGAAAUCAUUUCUAAUUGAUGAUAGGCUAAUUCGGAAUUAAGAUUAAUAUAUAAAAACUAGGUAGUAAAGUUAUAGUCCUCAAACUACACCUCAUUUGAUUUUUCCGACAUUCUAUUUUUGAAAAAAGAAUCACCUUCUUUAAAAAAAAAAUAUGUACUAAUUUGAAAAAUUAAAACUAUCAUAUAUAUUAAUAAGUACCAACUAAGCAAUACUUAAAUAUAGGUGUGUUUUAUAAAAAAAAAAUUAUCAACUUAAAGAAGUUGCAACAAAAAUUUAAAAUUCAUUUAUCAAAUGAAUAUUUAAAACUUAUAAUCUAAACUGUGACAUGAUAAAAUACAUGAGCAUAACUUGGAUUUACCAAAAAUCUAUGUACUUUUCUAAAACUUAAAUUUUAGUCCCUGUACUUUAAUUUAGAGACAUUAAGUAACUAUACUUUUUUAUUUAAAAAUUUUGGUCCCUUCAUCAAUUUUAUCAUUAUAAUUGUUGAUUUAGUUGUUAUAAAAAAAGGUAGAAUAACUUUUUUAGCCUUAAACAUUUAUAGUUUCUGUUAAUUUGGUCCUUACUCUUUAAAAUUACAUAAAAAUGCAAAAACAUUUUAAAAAUUAAAUUUUUUUUUGUAUUUUUAAAAACAUUUAUAGUUUUUCAUUUUUGUGGUUUGGUAACUUAUCAACUCGACUCUUAAUUGUAACCAACUUUUCUGGCCUUUUUCGUACCCUUAACCUAACUCCCGUUACAAAUUUCUAAAGACCUCUUUAUUGGUGUACCGUCUCGAUUUGUUUUUAUAAUGGUGGAGAUUUGGUUUUUAAGCAAGCCUAUGAUAAUCACAUUUUUUGUUCAACUGUUGAGCACACAGUUUUGAACCUUAAACACUUAAAGUGCUUUGAGUGAAUCUUACUUAGGAUAUUGAUUAUUGUUGAGUUUGAAUUUCAUGUAAUUAUUGAGAUAGAGGAGACGCCUAUGUUUUUUGUGCUUUACAAAUUUCUGCUUAGAUUUCUUUUAUUAUUUAGUGUCAUGCUAGUUUCAAUUUCCUGUGCAUGAUUAUCUAUAUAUUAUUCCUAAGGAAUUGUCGGUGAAAACAAUAAAUUAAGGGAGAUUAACUUGAAUAAGGGUUGAGAAUUUUGCUUAAGGACAAAUAAAUGCUUAAGUGUGGGGGAUAUUUGAUAAGUGCUAAAAUUGAUAUGUUUUAACAUCAUUCUUAAUGUGUUUUUGGUUGAUUAUUAGAUGUUAAUUAUGCUCCUAAUCCUUUCAAUUCGUGUUUUUAUGCUUAAUAGAACAUUUGGGAGGAAAAUGAGUGAAAAUAAAAAAAUGGGGGCAAACUAUAGGAUGCGGGCUGACCUAUUCCAUAUAACCGUGUGACCCACACAGUUAUGUGGCAGGCCGUGUCGAUUUCGUAGAUUUUCCCUUUGAAUUGCGAAAAAAAUGCAAUUUUAGGUUUUCCGAGCAUUUUAAUAGUAUAUAUGGAAAAAAAUAAGAAGAUAGGAGAGAACCUUUCUAGAAUAUUUAAGAAAACAAUUCCAAAGACGCCAUUGAAGCCGACUCUGAAACAGAUUUUCAUCAAGAUUGAAGAUUCCCAGUUGAUUUCUUAAGAGAUUAUGAUGAGUUUCUUUAUUUCUUUUGGUUAUACUGCCCUUUGGAUGUUUUUAUUUUUAAGCAUGAACUAAUUUUCUAAAUACCUAAGAGAGAUGAACCUACGAUAGAUUGUGACACCCCAAACCCGAUCGGGAUAGACCGGCCUGAAUUCGAAGCAUUACAUAAGCCACAUAAGUGACUCUCCAGCUAACGACCACCCAAGACACACCCCUACCUCAUAACACCUCAAUCUUAUCUAAUUAUUAGCUAUUUAUUAAUGCAGAAGUAAAUUAUAAGCCAAUUUCAAACUUUUCCUAGGUAAUUUAACCUAAGGGUAAUUUUGUCAUUUUACCACGUAUUGUAAAACUAACUCGAUUAUAGAUCUAAGUGCUUACCAACCUUCUUUUAGUCAAAUUAUGCAACCUUCUUUUAGAUUUAAUAUUUGUUAAUAUCAUCUAUAUAAUCACAUGUUCGAAUUACUAAUGUUCAACAAAGCCAAAUUUCACGUACUUCAUCCAUAUUAAUGUUCGAACCACAUAACCCUGAUAUUAAUGGCAUUUGUAUACUUAAGCCAUAUCCCAACAUAUUUCAUUACAUUUCAUACAUUGAAAAUAUGUCAUCAUAUUUAUUUCAUUAAUUGAAUAUUAAACAUAACAUUUCAUAACUUCUGCACUAGCACCUAAUAAAACCAAUCAAACCAUAAUACAAUAAUAUGAUGCAAUCGCAUAUAUGCGACUUUCGUAACAUUACGACAUAGCCGAACAUGCUAGUGAUGCAUAUACAUGUAUAGUGCGCAAAAACAUUAAUCAACUGAACACAAAUAAUAUUCCCUUGCACACCUAAUUCGCAUGUAUAUAUAGAUUGUUAUACCUAGCUUCAUAUUUUAUCCUAUUAACUAAUCAUUGAAUCGAUCACACCAUGAUAAAGGUCAUAAGCUUACCAAAAUGAACCACAUAUCAAAUCUGAAUUUACAAGCACCCACAUGCGCAUACCUAUAAUAAUACUAAAAUCAACUUGAUACUUUUAACUACCCAUUAAAAGUUAACCAAAACAUGCCUAAUUCAUAAACAUCUUUUAUCAUUUGGAUCCAUACCAAAACAAUCAACCAAAACAAUUAUGAAACAUGUUCAUUUACUAUUUAACAACCGAACUUACAUGACUAAACAUUCAAGCAUAAUAUAUGUAUAUGCUUGUCACCACAACCAAUCAAAUCAACCAAACCACAAUUGAUCAUAAAACAUUUCCAUAAUUUGCCAUCACCAAUCAAAAUAAUGACAUAACCAUUACUUAACCUACGUUUCAUAUACCAUAAACACACUUUCAAAAAUAAGCUAAAUUCAUGGCCGAUUGUAAACCAAUCUUUUCAUCGCCCAAUACCGAAUCAUUUAUCAAAACAUCACAAGUAUAUAUAUAUAUCAUGACUGAAAAUGCAUAUACGUAAGCAUCGUCCCUAGCCAUUUUCGCAUGGCUUUAUAUACAAUUUCAAAAUUAACCAAAACAAAUAAUUGUCUAUACAUGCCAUAGGUUUAUAAUUCAAGCCUUAAAAAUACCGAAAUAAUGGUCGAUAGUGCGGCGAACUUCCUUGACGAUCCCCUAGCUAAUAACUAGCUUUUCUAAAUCUAUAAAACAACGAAUAAACACCCAAAGUAAGCUUGGAAAGCUUAGUAAGUCAUAAGCAAAUAAGGUAUAAUAAAGACGAUAACAACUUAUUUUUAUUUGGCCGAAUAUAACUAAACUCAUACAUAUAUAUACGGCCACCUUUCACAAGUUGUUUCACAUAGUCACAUAAUUGCAUCAAAACUUACCUUUUCAUUCGAAUCUAAUAUAAACAUAAAACAUACCUGAAUUAUUUAAACUGAACUCAUAUUCGAUCUUGCUUAUCUCUUCCUAUUAAAACAUUCGAAAUUAUUAAGGAUAUUUGGAUAGCUCAACAGUUCGUACAAUGCCAUCGUCCCAAAAGUGGACUUACAUGUAAUCAAAUAUCGAUGCCACUACCCCAGAUAGGGUCUUACACGAAGUCAUAUACGAUGCCAAUGUCUCAGACAUGGUCUUAUACGUAAAUCUCAAGUCGAUGCCAAUGUCCUAGACAUGGUCUUACACAAAAUCACAUACCAGAAUCAUAGGGUUUGUAUGGGGCUUUUGGAUGUCGUAAUUCAAUCGAUUCAUGCUUGUAACAAAUCAUUCCAUGCAAAAUUUCAUUCGGCAAUGUAGUUAUACGUACAUACAAUUAAAAUCGGCUAUGUACAAGAUAAAUUCAUACAAUUUAACAUCAUUUAUUUACUUACAAACUUACCUCAAACAAAGACGAACGGACCGAGACGACUAUUCGAUAACUUUUGAUUUCCCUCGUUCUAAAUCCAAUUUCUUCUUUUCUUGACCUAAAUUAAUACAAAUUUGACUCGUUUAAUCAUAUAUUUAUUCAAAUUCAUCCAAAAAUAAAUAAAUGGGAAAAUUACAUUUUAUCGUCUAACAUUCCACAUUUUUCACAAUUUAGUCCCUACUUCACAAAACACAAAAUAUUCAAAAUUUUACCACACCCAAGCUUGGCCAAAUUUCACUAAGGUCCCUAACAACCCAUUUCUUUCAUUUGUUUCACAUUUUGACCCUUAAAUUUUUAAAAUUCACAAUUUAAUCCUAAUUAGGCAUUUUUACUAAAAAUUACUUAAUUAAACUUGACAAUCUAACAACAUAUAUUUAUUUUUCAUCAUCAAACAACAAAAACCACAAGGUAUCAUCAAUGGCAAAUCAUGAAUACAUCAACAAAUUCAAAAAUUCCAACAUGGGCUAGCUAGUAUUCGAAGUAACGAUCUCAAAAACGUAAAAAUUUUCAAAAGUCGAGCUAAACACAUACCUUAAUCAAGCUUGGACAAUGCCGAACCUAGCUUGUUCUUUUUAUUUCUUUUUCUUUUGUAUUUUCGGCAAGAAUGAUUAACAAAUGCAUGGUUUUAUGUUUUUGUUUUAUUUAAUUUCAUUUUAACACCUAAUUUACUAUAUUAACCUUUAUAAAAUAAUAUGAAAACCUUAUAAAUUAAGCCCAAAACUGCCCAUGCUAAAGUUCAAUGGCUAAAUUACAACAUAAGGGCCCUACAUAAUAAAAGCCAUAGCAAUAUAGCACUUUAAAAAUUAGCUAGCCACUUUUGUAUUUUACGCGAUUAAGUCUUUUUUUUUAAAUCGAGUACACAAACGACAAAAUUUUCACACAUAUAAAUUAACAUGCUGUAGACACCAAAAAUAAUAUUGUUACAGACCCAUUUUGCCCCAAGGCCCAUUACAAAGUAAAUACCCAAAGCCCAUCUAAACCUAACGCAGACCCGAAGCCCACUUAGCCCAGGCCCGAUUUUAAAAAACUGAAACCCUAGGCGUCGCCCCUUGACUUUUGGCCUCCUGCCAUCGCCGCCACCGCCGCUGGACGUCCCAUCCGCGUCCAUCACCACCACCCAUCCACUUGCACCGUCACCUGCAAAGAAGAGAAACAAACAAAGGAAAAGACAACACAAACAGUGGCAAAGAUCGGCUAUAAAAGCCAACAAAAUGUAACCUUUCUUUUUUUCGGGUACUCUUUGUAACAAAACAGAGAUUAGCAAAAAGAAAUAAAAUACAAACUAAGUUUUAAGGUGCUUUCGAGUACUCUUCUUCAUUUUUUAUUUUAUUUCUUAUCUUUUUUUGUUUAUUUAUAUAUGUAAAAUAAAGAAAAGGAAAAAGAAAAAAACUCACCUGAUUCAUUUUUUGGUUGCGCCGCCGUUGGGAUCUACCCAUCGUUGAAAUCAGCCUCGAAAGGAUGAGUUAGAGGGUCUCUCCUUUGGAUCUUUCGGCUAAACGAGUCUAGCCUUUAAUUAGGCCUUGGAUCGGGGACUAAAUUGCCCUUUUACGCAACGCCAACCACCACGCAUGAUGGCGCUACAGCGGCACUGUGUGGGCUCAAAGUUCGGGCGUUUGAGAGGGGGAGGAGAAAGGUUUUCUUUUUUUUUUUGAUUUGUUUUUUUUUAAAAAAAGAAGUGAGAUGCUGAAUUUUUUUGAAAGAGUUUGGGUUUAAAUAACCCCCUAAAACGGUGCCGUUUGGGCUUAGGGUUCAGAGACCAAAAAAGGCGUCGUUUUGGUCUCUGACCCGCGCGGUGAACCGACCCGAGGGGAGGAUCCGCGUGUUUCUGACUCUUGGGUUAUUUGUGCAAUUAGUCCCUUUGAUUCUGUAGCGAUUUCAUGGAAGUCUUUCACAUAUUUGCAAUGUGGCCACAAAAUUUUAUUUUUGUCUCAAUUCGGUGCAUUACUACACAGCGUUUUGGGGCUUUGGUUUAUUUACCCUGUUAGUCCCCCCUCUUUCAGCAUGCGUUACGAUUUAGUCCCUCUUGUCCUUUUUUUAUUUUUGAUUUUGCCCCGUAUUUUCGUUUUUAUUUCGAUUUAGUCCAUAUUUUAGCAAUUUUAUUAUUUAGUUAUUAUUAUUAUUAUUAUUAUUAUUAUUAUCUUAACUAUUAUUAUUAUUAUAUUUAUUAACAUUAUUGUUAUUAUUAUGUCUUUUUUUUUUUAUAUUCACUUAUGAAACUUUUAGAUAUAUUUGUUUUAAUAUAUUAUUAUCAUGAUUGUUUUUAUAUACAUAUACGUAUAUAUAUAUUUUUCUAACUUAUUUAAUAUAUAAAUACUCAAUUUUAUAUACAUACCUAUAUAUAUAUGUUUUUAUAUAUUAAAAUAUGUAUAUUAUUUAUAUAUUUUAUUUUAUUUUAUUAUAUUUUAUAAUCCAUAUAUGUAUAUAUUUUCAUCUACAUACAUAUGUUCUUAUGUUUUGUAAUAUUUAUGUAUUCCUUUCUUAAUAUAUAUAUGUACAUAUUUUAACCUUUGUAAACACAUAUACAUAUACACGCAUAUUUUAAUUUAUGUCCAUAUAUAUCUCUUUACAUUUAAUUGUAUUUACUACUUAUUUAUUUCAUUUUCUUUAUUAUUUUGAAUGAAUGUUUUAAUUUAUUUGUUUAUAUACAUUGUUAUUUUAUACGAUUGUAGGUAUGACUUUUAUUUAUUUUAUAUUGUUGCUAUUACUCGUAUCAUUUUUAUACUUUUGUGUGUGUAUUAUGAUUUUACCACGCAUAACAACAAUGUAAUUUGUUUUCACAUUUUACUACGAUUUUCGUGUUUUAUUUUACUCGAUAUAACAAAAAUUAGUUUUAAAAAAAUAAUAAAAUAAAAUUUCGUGUUUAGAUUCGAGAGGAUCAUACCCUAACUUACUGGGUUUCGAUUUUCAUAAUAAAUCUAAAUAUACGAAUCUUUUCAAACUCAAGUUUUUAAACGAUCUCGGGAAUUAAGAAAAGAUCGUGUCCUAACUUACUGGGCAUGAUUCAUUUUUUAAACCCGAGAUAAUAAAAUAUCUUUUAAAUGAGUAAAUUUUCAGCAUUCGUUCGCGUAUCGGGAAUUUGAGAUAUUGUGUCCUAACUUACUGGAUGUGAUUCUCUUUCUUGAUUAACGUGAAAUAUGCCCAUUUUCCCAAAAUUUUUAACAUUUUAAUACAAGGAUCGUAUUUUUAAAAUUCUUUAAAGUUUUCAAUUUUCGAUAUCAAGACAUUAGCUAAUCAACUAGGUACCAAUUUCUGGGCGUUACGAGGGUGCUAAUCCUUCCUCGUACUUAACCGACUCCCGAACCCGAUUUCUGAAUUUCGUGGGCCAAAAUUGUUGUUUUAAUAAAAUCAAACCGUUUAUUAAAAACCACUUUUCGAGGUGAUCCAAUCACACCUCAUAAAAAGGGAUUGGUGGCGACUCCCCUUUCAUUUUUUCAAAACCCAAGUCAACCCCGUUUUUCAUCAAAAAAAUGGUGUCAACAGCUUGGCGACUCCGCUGGGGACAUCGAAUAAGUGAGUCGAGCCACGAUGUGAUUAUUUUUUGUCUUUUUUUCAAAAAUUAAAAACUUGGUUUAAAGUUACGAUCCUUGCACUGCACUUCAUUCAUCCUUAUUACGAUUUUCAUCGUUGUGGUUUAUGAUUGUUAUGUUUCGGUAUCUUUUUGCAUUGCAUUGCAUGAUCGUUGGUCACACCGUUUUAAGUGGGAGUGAGAAACUACGCCUUCGUGAGGUUUUCACCUCCGCAUAGGAUAGUGAAUCGCUUUCGGGAUACAUCUGUACCUAUGUCUUUGUGAGGUUUUCAUCUCCGUAUGGCCAUAGGGAAAUGUAUUCCCCUGAACUGAACUCGAUCAAUAUGAGCCUAUAAUGGGUGAGGAUCGAGGAAUCUGCCGGUUUGGGUACCUUUACUCUAGAACUAAACCACAUAUAGUGAGCCAUAGGAACCGACCUAGAUGGAACUACGCCAAACCUUAAGUGCUUACCCAAAUGGCUGCUUUAUUUAUUGUCAUUUACUCUAGAUCUUGUUCUGUGUUUAAUACUGAUUUGUUUGUUUCUGAUUGCAUGGCAUUUUCAUUCUAAAAGAGCUGUUGAUUCACGUUCAGUAUCUAGAUAGAAAGCUUAUCAUGGAAAAGGGGUUUUUUGAUAAAGUAGAAGAUAAUGCGGCUGUGUGAAUAUGGGCUAAGACGAUGCAACGGGAGAAAGGAUAUAGUCUUACCGAGGGGCAUAUGUCAGAAUUGUGGGAUUUCACCCGUAUUAGUGUAAUCUAGAAUGAUCUUCGAGAAAUGAAAGAAAUUUGGGAUCAAUGGGAUAACAAGACCAAACAGUUGUUCUAUUGUAACUACGGUGACCUACCUUAUCUGCUCAGUAUCAAAGUGGACAAGUAUUUAUUUCGAGCCCUUGCUCAAUUUUAGAAUCCUGCCUACAGUUGUUUCACCUUUGGAAAAGUGGACUUGACGCCUACUGUGGAGGAGUAUAUGACCUUGCUUCGGUGCCUAAAGAUUCAAGUCGACAAGGCUUAUUCUAGAGCUGCUGGUGCCCUUCCGUUGUUAAAGAAAUUAAUAAACAUCACUGGGAUGAGCGAGCGGUGGGUUGCUGCCCGAAUCCAGCAGAAAGGCGAUAGUAAAUGCGUUCCUUGGAAAAGCUUGCGAGAUUUGGUGCUAGUACAUCCUGAUAUAAAGAAAAGGGUCGAUGUCUUCGCUUUAGGUAUCUAUGGAUUAGUGGUCUUCCCCAAAGCAUUAGGACACAUAGACGAGGCUGUUUCUGAUUUAUUUGAUCGGCUCAGAAAAGGGGUUACUCCCGUUCCAGCAAUACUGGCUGAAACUUUCAGAUCCUUGAAUGCGUGUCGGAGAGCAGGUGAAGGAAGGUUUAUAGGGUGCGCGCAGCUCUUAUUGGCAUGGUUUCAUAGUCAUUUCUGGAAAGUGGAAAAAGUCUCUUAUCAGGUAUUCUCUGGUAGCUAUUCCCCUUUAGAAGAAUUAGUAGCUACGCCAAGGCGAGAUGAUGUUUCAGAGGAAAAAUGGAUGGCGAUACUCCAGAAUCUUCAAGAUGAAGAUGUUGAAUGGAGGGCUCCUUCGUUGAUUUCUGAUGAGAUUUUAUACCGGUGCGGGGAUUUUGACUGGGUUCCUCUGCUCGGAAUAUGGGGAGCUAUCGGAUAUGCUCCUCUACUCGUAUCAAGAUAGUUUAGAUCACGACAAUUCAUACCAGCAAUGCAAGGGUUGCCCAUUGUGAAUUUUCCUAUAAGGAGGACAAUUACAAGAAAAGGGUUCGAGAAAUGUCAAAUGCCUGAAACUAAACUCGCCGAAUGAAGAUCUUAGCUAUAGGUCCGGCAAUGACCCCCGAAUACAGUCAAUGGCAUGAUCAAAGGGUCAACGACAAUAUCCCGGUGUCAAAUCCAGAAACUGCUCGAUCUUUAGAGGAACACCUACAAGUAUUGCCCUCUGAGGUAGAAAUUAUCAAAAAAGAAUUUGAAAAAAGGAGCUUAGAGUUAGGGAAGAAAAUAGAGCAACUAGAGGAAGAAAAAAUGCAAUUAGGAUUGGAUGUGGACAUUCAAUAAUUAGAGGCUGACAAAUUGAGAAAAGGAAAGAACAAGGCAGAAGAAGAUUUAGACAGCCUGAAGAUGGACUACAAGAAGUUGCGUAGGUCAAUAAGAACUGCUGGCUUGGGUAAAACGUCAGAACAAUAGCGACAGGAAAUUCAGGAGGAAAAGAUGAAAACUAAUCAAUAGGAAAAGAUAUUUCAGGAUACUCGAGCUCGAGAAGUUGCUCUGGAAAAGAGUCUACUAGCCUGCCAAAACGAGAAGACAGAGCUGAAAGAUCGAGUAACUGAGCUAGAAAGGUCACUUCACCAGCAUCGUAGUCGUAAUUCUGCGGUUGAAUUAAAGGCAAGCUUGAACAAAAUUGAAGACUGAAAGGGACAAGUAGGGGAGCUCGAGGAUGCAUUGUAAAACAGCGAACUCCGAAUAGAGCUUCUGGAAAGAAAUAAUGAGCAGUGGCAAGGGCAAUUCCAUCGGUCUCAAGACCAUAUUAGAGAAAGAGAUUAUAUUAUGGGUGAGGCGGUGGCUCAAGUACACGAAGUAGCCGAGCACCUACAGACUCUAGCAGUCCAAGCAGAUGUGUUGAGUUUGAAGUAUGAGUCAGAAUCGAACCGGGGCUGAGACUUAGCUUGGCUUCUUAGGAAGGUUAAGGAUUUGGGUAUAAGGGCAAAGCCGUAUAUGUAAUCUAUUUUAUGUAAAGAAACUUCUUCUCUAGUAAAGUUUUCUAAUGAAGUUGAAUUAGAAUCUGUGCCUCUUUUUUUACAUUUAUUUCAUGCAUUGCAUCACAUCAUAUGCAUUAAUAACCAUUAAUGAACCUUAAUUGAAUAAAAUUAUUUCAGUUAACCUGGAAAAUCGACACUGUUACGGCACCCGUGCUAAGUCAAAAAUUAUGGAUCAAAGGUUGGAAAAGCUAGAGCGACUUCAAAAGGAAACGCAAGACCAGUUGCAGGCGCAAAUGAAAGAACAUAUGGAAAAGAUCUAGCAGGACAUGGUACAAAAGAUGAAGGAGUCUCAAGAUGACUUAAUGACUAAGUUGACGCAAUUAAUAACCAAAGGAGUAGAUAAAGGGAAAGGUCAUGUGAUUUACGAUGAAGAAGAAAACAAUGAUGAACCACUUUUUCCUCCAGGUUUUACGCUUCCGCAUGCGCAAGUUCAGACUGAACCACAUCCAUGGAGACCUUCUGUUUCGAUUAGACCUCAGCAUUUUCAAGGUGAUGUUUUAAUUCCAAAGAACCUUCAGGUCGGAUCUGGCUCUAAUCUUGGUGAUAAUCUAAUUAAUUUUGCUAUCCUGAAUUUUGAUGAAGUAGUUGAGAAGGACAAGGUGAAGGAAGAGUUUCCAAAGCAAUUUGAGGAGAAAUGGAAAUGGAUUGAAGAGAUGUUUAGGGCAAUAGAAAGCAUUGACAGCUAUCAUGGAAUAGAUGCAAAAGAUCUGAGCUUGGUUCCGGAUUUGGUGCUUCCUUACAAAUUUAAGAUGCCAAAAUUCGAGAAAUAUAAUGGGACCAGUUGUCCAGAAGCCCAUAUCACUAUGUUCUGUAGGAGAAUGACGGGGUAUAUUAAUAAUGAUCAAUUAUUAAUACACUGCUUUCAGGAUAGCCUUACAUGAGCGGCGUUAAAAUGGUACAAUCAGCUAAGCCAAACCAAAAUUGCUACUUGGAGAGAUUUGGCACAGGCAUUCAUGAAACAGUACAAUCAUGUCUCAGAAAUGAUGCCUGACAGGAUAACUCUGCAGAAUUUGGAGAAGAAAUCGAACGAAAGCUUCAGACAGUAUGCGUAGAGGUGGAGAGAAGUGGCGGUUCAGGUGCAACCACCGCUUUUGGAAAAAGAAAUGACGACGCUUUUUAUUAAAACAUUGAAAGCCCCGUUCAUCACUCACAUGUUGGGAAGUGCUUCAAAGAAUUUCUCAGAUAUAAUCAUGAACGGCGAAAUGAUCGAGCAUGCUAUUAAAAGUGGAAGAAUAGAUGGAGGGGAAAACAAUAGAAGGACAGCCCCGAGGAAAAGAGAAAAUGAAGUGAAUAAUGUGAAUGCCUACAGUAAGUCAAUUACCGUGAAUCAACCAAGGAAAGUGGUUGCUAAUCAGUAGGGCUCAUCGAAGCAAGAGUCGAGAAUGAGGCAAAAUACUGAGAAGCCUCAGUUCACACCCAUUCCAAUGACAUAUAAGGAGCUGUACCAGAAUUUAUUUAAUGCACAUGUUGUCGCUCCUCGUUACUUGAGUCCUCUACAACCCCCGUAUCCAAAAUGGUAUGACACGAACGCGCAAUGUGACUAUCAUGCUGGAAUUUCAGAACACUCAAUAGAAAAUUAUACUGCUUUCAAGAAGGUAGUGGAAGGACUUAUCAAAUUGGGUGUUGUUAAAUUUAGUGACUCACCCAACACAGAAAGUCCAUUGCCCAAUCAUGAUGAUAAGGGAGUGAAUAUGUUGAGCGAAUGUACGGGGAAAGGAGUCAAGACUGACAUUGCUGAAGUAAAAACUCCAUUGAAACGGGUCUGGAAAGAGAUGGCAAAAAGGGGGUUAGUUAUUUCAGAUUUUGAGGAAGGGUAUGAGAUGGGAAACUAUUAUGAAUUCCACGGUAAAACAGGGCACGAAAUCCAAAAAUGUGAAGGAUUCAGGGCUCUGGUUCAAAGUAUGAUGGAUAACAAGAAGAUGAGGUUCUAUGAAGAUACGGAAGAAAGGAAGAGCAUAUGUGUGACAGAAUCAGGAAUAGGGACUCUGAAAAUAAAUCCCUCUGUGGUCAUUAUCUCACACCCUAAGAGUAAUGAGGAUAGGCCUCAGGUAACACCAAAAAUUGUAAUCCAGAAACCAUCAAUUUUCUCAUAUAAGGAUAGCAAAAAGGUUCCGUGGAAUUAUGGGUGCAAUGUGACUAUCUUGGGAAGAGAAGCGGAAAGAAAUCAGGAAAUAGGAUCUUACACGAGCAAUGGGAAACGAUAUGACGCUCAAGCAGAAUCGUCAAGGGAAGAGAAUUUGAAGAAAGAGCAGAGGAAAGGGAAAAUAGUACAAGUUGAACCAUUGGUUAAUGAACCAUUAAAAGAAGAGGAGGCGGGGGAGUUUUUGAAGUUUUUGAAACACAGUGACUAUAGUGUUGUGGAGCAACUACACAAACAGCCCGCCCGCAUUUCUGUAUUAGCUCUACUCCUAAGCUCAGAAGCACAUCGGAAUGCAUUUUUGAAAGUACUAAAUGAAACAUAUGUGGCCAAUGAUGUUUCGGUAAACCAGGUGGAUCAGUUGGUCAAAAAUAUAGGUGCUGACAAUUUUAUUUUCUUCAAUGAUGAUGAAAUACCAUCUGGAGGAAGGGGUUCUACUAAAGCCCUGCAUGUUACUGUCCAAUGCAAAGGGUACACACUCCCGAGGGCCUUGGUUGAUAAUGGAUCUGCAUUGAAUGUAUUACCUUUAUCCACUCUUGGUCAGUUACCGACGGACAGUUCGCACAUGAAAGCAUGCCAGAGCAUAGUAAGGGCAUUUGAUGGAACGAAAAAGAGAGUUAUGGGAAGAAUUGAGGUACCGUUAAGGAUUGGCCCAAUUACUUAUGAGGUGGAUCUCUUGGUAAUGGAUAUUAAGCCUUCCUACAACUGUUUAUUGGGAAGGUCAUGGAUACACUCAGCCGGGGCAGUACCUUCAUCAUUACAUCAAAAGGUGAAGUUAGUGUCGGAGGGUCAGUUGGUAACAAUAGAUGCGAAGGAAGAUAUUAUCGCAACGGUAACUAGUGAUGCAUCUUAUGUGGAAAUUAGCGAUGAGGCACUGGAAUGUUCUUUUUGGUCAUUAGAAUUUGUGAAUGUGAUGUUUAUUGCUGAAGGAAGUAAAAUUUCGGUACCGAAAAUAUCCAGGACCACGGAAAUGGGGUUGCGAUUGAUGAUGGGAAGAGGAGCUUCACCAGGGAAAGGAUUGGGAAAAUAUCUUCAAGGAAAGAUUGAAGUACCGAUGCUGAGGGAAAAGUUUGAUAGUUUUGGCUUAGGAUACAAGCCAGACAUGAGGCAGAAGAAGAAAGAAGCACAGAAAAGACAAGAGAAAAGAAGGGCACGUUUGAAUGGAUAUGAAGCUAAGUGGGAACCUUUGACCUUUCCCUACUUAUCUGUAUCUUUUGUGUCGGGCGAAUUUAUUCAUCCUGAGCGUGGAAUGUCUAGUAACAAGGGUAUUGAAUAAAUGAGGGAAAACGUUCAUAUCAACACUAUAACGGAGGAAAGGGCUUUGUUGGAGAUCUGCCCUUACGAACCUGGGAGCGAGCUAAACAAUUGGACUGCGGAAGAAAUCCCUAUAGUCUUUCGGGCUUAUUCAGAGUAAUGCCCAGAACAUUCCUGUUGUUUUUGUCUAGAAAUGAUAUGAAAUCUUUUGUGAAAGAGGCUUGAGCCUAAAAUAUCAUUAUCCUAAUGAAAUAUACAUUUACAUUCAUUUUGAGCAAUCAUUCUUUUUUCUUUUCAUACAAGUAAAUAUCUUCCAUUUGAUUAAUUGUCUUCCAAAUAAUUUUUUCAUUUGUAACCUUAUUGUACAAAUAAUUAUUCAUAAAAUUUAUAUAUUCUUUGAUGCAUUCCAUCAUAGGUCCUCAGAUAUCAAUGACAUGAGUGAUGUUGCUUCAAACACGAAGUUUAUUUUUGAGCAAGAAAUGUGUUUGGAGGGAUCUCACGACUUUGAAAAUGAUGAAGACAAUGGUGUAUCCCCGGACUUGUUGAGGAUGGUGGAACAAGAGGACAAAUAGAUCCUACCUUAUAAGGAAUCUUUGGAAAUCGUGAGCCUAGAGGAAGGAAAAGAAGUGAAAAUUGGAACUGAAAUCACCGCAAAGACAAAACAGGACCUCAUUAAAUUGCUCCGAGAGUUCAAAGAUGUUUUUGCAUGGUCAUACCAAGAUAUGUCCGGGCUAAGCACUAGCAUUGUGGUACAUCGUCUGCCCAUAAAAGAGGAUUGUAAACCCGUUCAGCAGAAACGCAGGAGAAUGAGACCUGACAUUGUGUUGAAGAUAAAAGAAGAAGUUAAAAGGUAGUUCGACGCGGGAUUCUUACGAGAAAUCAAAUAUUCAGAUUGGGUAGCAAACAUCGUCCCCGUUCCCAAGAAGGAUGGAAAGGUGCGAAUGUGUGUGGAUUAUAGAGACUUGAACAAGGCUAGUCCAAAGGACAAUUUUCCACUACCUCACAUUGAUACUUUGGUAGAUAACACGGCAGACUACUUAUUAUUUUCUUUCAUGGAUGGCUUCUCUGGAUACAAUCAAAUAAAGAUACAUCCCGAAGACAUGAGGAAAACCACAUUCAUUACCUUAUAGGAAACAUUUUGUUAUAAGGUAAUGCCCUUUGGAUUGAAGAAUGCGGGACCAACAUAUCAAAGAGCUAUGGUGACUUUGUUUCAUGACAUGAUACAUAAGGAGAUCGAAGUCUAUGUUGAUGAUAUGAUUGCAAAGUUGAGAACUAAAGAAGAGCAUGUUCAAGUCUUAAAAAAGUUAUUUUUGAGAUUAAGGAAAUUUCAGCUCAAGCUUAACCCGGUAAAAUGCACGUUUGGAGCCAGAUCAGGGAAGUUAUUAGGCUUCAUAGUUAGCAGAAAUGGGAUUGAAGUUGACCCAGACAAAGUAAAAGCAAUACAAGAUUUGCCUCCCCUGCGCACUCAGAAGGAAGUUCGAGGUUUCCUUGGGAGAUUGAAUUAUAUUGCUCGGUUCAUCUCACAACUAACAGAGAAAUGUGAUCCAGUAUUUCAUCUUUUGAAGAAGCAUAAUCCGGGUGAAUGGAACGAUGGAUGUCAGAGGGCUUUUGACAAGAUAAAGCAAUACUUGGCUAAUACUCCAAUACUAUCGCCGCCAAGUCUGGAUAAGCCAUUGAUACUGUAUCUAACGGUGUUUGAGAAUUCCAUGGGAUGGGUAUUGGGCCAACAUGAUGAGACGGGAAAGAAAGAAAGGGCAAUAUACUAUCUCAGCAAGAAAAUUACUGAUUGCAAAAUGAGAUACUCGCCAAUUGAGAAGUUGUGUUGUGCUUUAAUCUGGGCAACCCGGAGACUAAGGCAGUAUAUGUUAUAUCACACAACUGGGCUGAUUUCAAAACUGGAUCCUUUAAAGUAUAUGAUGGAAUCAACUGCUUUAAAUGGGAGAAUAGCUAGAUGGCAGAUUCUGCUAUCUGAGUUUGACAUAGUAUAUGUAACUCAGAAGGCCGUAAAGGGCAGUGCGAUAGCUCACUUCUUAGUUAGUAGAGCUUUGGAGGAUUAUGAGUCUUUGGACUUCGAUUUCCCAAAUGAAGACCUGAUGUAUUUGGCAAACACUAAAGAAAAUCCUCAAAUAGAUCACGUAUGGAGGUUAAAUUUUGAUGGAGCUUCAAACUCUACGGGUAAUGGAAUCGGGGCAGUCUUGGUAUCCCCAAAUGGAGAUCAUUAUCCUGUUGCUAGCAAGUUGGACUUCGAUUGCACAAAUAAUAUGGCAGAAUAUGAAGCAUGUACUAUGGGCAUUCGCCCAGCCAUUGAGCGGAACAUCAAAGUGUUAAGAGUAUUUGGGGAUUCUGCAUUGGUGAUAUACCAACUCAAAGGGGAAUGGGAGACUAGAGACCCUAAGUUAAUCGGUUAUAGAAAACUGGUCCUCGAUUUAGCUGAUGAGUUUGACGAUAUCACCUUCUGUUAUCUCCCACGAGAGGAAAAUCAGAUGGCUGAUGCAUUGGCUACUCUAGCUUCAAUGUUUCAGGUGAACAGACUUGAGGCAAUAAGGCCUAUUCAGAUGAGUAUCUAUGAGACCCCAGCUCAUUGCUACAAUAUUGAGUAGGAGGGAAGAGAUGAUUGUCCUUAGUAUCAGAGUAUCCUACAGUAUGUGAAGAAUCGGGAGUACCCUAAUCGAGCAACAGAGAAUGACAAAAGAACUCUGAGAAGAAUGGCCAUUGAAUAUGUCUUAGAUGGGGAAGUAUUAUACAAAAGAAGGAAGGAUCAAGUACUGUUAAGAUGUGUGGAUGCCGUGGAAGCCAAGAAAAUUUUGGAGGAAGUCCAUGAAGGUAUUUGUGGGACGCACGCCAAUGGUUUCACGAUGGCUAGACAGAUCAUGAGAUUUGGGUACUAUUGGCCCACCAUGGAAGGAGAUUGCCUUGAUUAUGCCAAGAAGUGCCACAAAUGCCAAAUUUAUGGAGACAAAAUACAUGCGCCUCCUUCACCUUUUCACGUCAUGGCCUCUCCUUGGUCUUUUUCCAUGUGGGGUAUGGAUGUUAUUGGGCCGAUAUCACCAAAGGCCUCUAAUGGGCAUCGCUUCAUCUUCGUGGUUAUUGAUUAUUUUACCAAGUGGGUGGAAGCUGCUUCAUACGCAAACGUCACGAAAUCAACAGUCAGCAAAUUCUUAAAAAAGGAGAUCAUUUCUCGAUAUGGAAUGCCUGAGAAAAUCAUAUCCGACAAUACGUUGAAUUUGAACAAUAGCACAAUAGCUGAGGUUUGCAGCCAAUUUAAAAUCAAACAUCAUAAUUCAUCGCCGUAUCGUCCAAAAAUGAAUGGUACAGUUGAGGCGGCCAAUAAGAACAUUAAAAGGAUUGUGAGGAAAAUGACUGAAACUUACAAAGAUUGGCAUGAGAAGUUAUCAUUUGCUCUCCUUGCCUAUCGAACAUCUGUUAGAACUUCUACAGGGGCAACACCUGUUUCUCUAGUCUAUGGAAUGGAUUCAGUAUUACCCAUUGAAGUUGAGAUCCCUUCUCUACAGGUGUUAUCUGAACUACGGUUGGACGAGGCUGAAUGGGUCCAAUCUCAGUACGAUCAGUUGAACCUAAUAGAAGAAAAGAGGUUAAGAGCUAUUCACCAUGGGCGAAUGUACCAGAAACGAAUGAUGCGAGCCUAUAAUAAAAAGGUCCGCCUCAGAGAAUUUCGUGAAAGGGACUUGGUGCUAAAAAAGAUUCUUCCUAUGCAAAAGGAUUUGAGAGGAAAAUGGAUGCCAAAUUGGGAGGGUCCUUAUGUUGUAAAGAAGGCCUUUUCUGGUGGAGCUCUGAUUCUAAGUGAGAUGGAUGGUAAAAAUAUGCCAAACUCUGUAAACGCAGAUUCCAUCAAGAAAUACUUCACUUGAGGGAAAAUGAACCAAAAUGAAAACUCGCAAAGGGCGCUUUGCUUCCCUAAAAAAACUUUGGAGAGGCUAAGAGGAAAACCCGUAAAGGGCAUCUUAGACCAAAGGGGGCUUGAGUCGAAAACCCAAAAAAAGACGGCUCAAGUAUUGAUCAAAUUAGGGCAUGAGAUGAUUUGAGCGGGCCGAAUUUUAAUUGGGGCAUAUGAUGAUCUUGCUUUACUUGAACCAACAAGAAAGGGUACGUGACAUCUUGAAGCAUUGACCGAGUACUGCGGAUCUCCUAAACACAUAUCAAAAUCAGAAAGGCCUUCAGGAAGUUUGAACAAAGAAAUUCAAGCUGCGAUAACUGGGGCACUUAGUUCUUAUUAUUGAUUGUGUUAUCCUUGAAAAUACCUUUUAUUCUUGUUAAGAUACACAUUCUUAAUCAACUUUUUGUUAUUCUUCUUCCGCUAUCUUUGAUAUUUUUCUUUCGAGUUAUGAUCGGAGCCAGCUUUGUUCUUAUUCAUUGUUGUGACCUUUUUGCAAACAUGUUCCAUUGGAGUAAUGAUUAAUGGAUUAAUAAAACUUUCACAAAAGAAGUUUUGCAUAUUACUCUGAAAAGUUCUAAAUAAUAUAGGAACCUGAAACAGGACUAUUGUUUAGAACAUACCAAGUUUAAAGGUUGGAAAUUUGAGAAGGAAUAGUUUAAAUUUAGACUUUCUCUUUGGAUUUUUGUUGUCAAAAGCAUUGAUUGAACAAAAUGACAAAGAUGUCAUAUUAACGAUAAGGUUUCAAUAAAAGAGCAGGCAAUGAUCAUCAGGCAAUAGGAAGAGGUUGCCUCGGAGAGUAGAGCCUUCAUUUGCACAUGAGUCUUUGGUACGACACCUUGGGAAUGGUGUAAGGAACCAGAACGAUUCAGAUCUUGUACCCUUGAAUUGUGAUAGGAAAGGAUUGAGAACAGCCACAUAUUUAUUGGAUUACAAUGGGGGGUAACUUAGCUAAAUGUUUCUUUAGAAAAGUUAAUCAAACAAGAAAGUACUAUAACACAUCAGUCACAAAGCCUUAAUAAACUUCGAGUAACGAUAACCUAAGCGAGAUCAUUCAUGAAAAAUAAAAUUCUGCAUCCAUGCAAACACCAUUCACACAUGUCUAGUUAGGAGCAUUUGAUUCAUUUUGAUCAUGCCAUCUUAAUCAUUAGGCAUAAUUAGGUUCAUUAUACAGGUCUUAUUUCCCUGAGAUUAUGGUGGAACAGACCGAAGAAUUUCAAAUCUUAUCUCCCUGAGAUUACAGCGGAGCAGAUUGAAGCUAGUAAUCCUAUCUCCUUGAGAUUACAGUGGAGUGGAUUAAAAUAAAGGAUCUUAUCUCUCUGAAGUUACAGUAGAGUAGAUCGUAUCAGGUCCUAUCUCCCUGAGAUUACAGCGGAGCAGAUUGAAGCUAGUAAUCCUAUCUUCCUGAGAUUACAGUGGAGCGGAUUAAAAUAAAGGAUCUUAUCUCUCUGAAGUUACAGUAGAGUAGAUCAUAUCAGGUCUUAUCUCCCUGAGAUUACAGCGGAGCAGAUUGAAGCUAGUAAUCCUAUUUCCCUGAGAUUACAGUGGAACAGAUUAAAAUAAAGGAUCUUAUCUCUCUGAAGUUACAGUAGAGUAGAUCGUAUCAGGUCUUAUCUCCCUGAGAUUACAGCGGAGCAGAUUGAAGCUAGUAAUCCUAUCUCCCUGAGAAUACAGUAGAGCAGAUUAAAAUAAAGGAUCUUAUCUGUCUGAAGUUACAGUACAGUAGAUCGUAUCAAGUCUUAUCUCUCUGAGAUUACAGCGGAGCAGAUUGAAGCUAGUAAUCCUAUCUCCCUGAGAUUACAGUGGAGCGGAUUAAAAUAAAGGAUCUUAUCUCUCUGAAGUUACAGUAGAGUAGAUCGUAUCAGGUCUUAUUUCCCUGAGAUUACAGCGGAGCAGAUUGAAGCUAGUAAUCCUAUUUCCCUGAGAUUACAGUGGAACAGAUUAAAAUAAAGGAUCUUAUCUCUCUGAAGUUACAGUAGAGUAGAUCGUAUCAGGUCUUAUCUCCCUGAGAUUACAGCGGAGCAGAUUGAAGCUAGUAAUCCUAUCUCCCUGAGAUUACAGUAGAGCAGAUUAAAAUAAAGGAUCUUAUCUCUCUGAAUUUACAGUAGAGUAGAUCGUAUCAAGUCUUAUCUCUCUGAGAUUACAGCAGAGCAGAUUGAAGCUAGUAAUCCUAUCUCCCUGAGAUUACAGUGGAGCGGAUUAAAAUAAAGGAUCUUAUCUCUCUGAAGUUACAGUAGAGUAGAUCGCAUCAGGUCUUAUCUCCCUGAGAUUACAGUGGAACAGACCGAGGAAUUUCAGAUUUUAUCUCCCUAACGUUGCAGUGGAGCAGACUAAAACCAUAAACUUCGUCCCCCUGAAGUUGCUACGAAGAAGAUCGAAGCUACAAGUCAGAUCUUUCUGAAGUGCAGUGGAGUAGAUCGACGCAACAAGACAUAGUGGAUUGAAAUAAACCUAUUUGAAGAAGGGAAGCGUCAAAAGAAGUCGAAAUCCGGCGAAACCAGGCAAAAUUGGUCUUUCUUGGUCUUUGCUCUGUUCUCGUUACACAACAACGAGCAAAGAGGGGCAGCUGUUACAGACCCAUUUUGCCCCAAGGCCCAUUACAAAGUAAAAACCCAAAGCCCACCUAAACCUAACCCAGACCCGAGACCCACUUAUCCCAGGCCUGAUUUCAAAAAAGCCCCUUGACUUUUGGCCUCCUGCCAUCGCCGCCACCGCCACUAAACGUCCCAUCCGCGUCCAUCACCACCACCCAUCCACUUGCGCCGUCACCUGCAAAGAAGAGAAACAAACAAAGGAAAAGAUAACACAAACAGUGGCAAAGAUCGGCUAUAAAAGCCAACAAAAUGUAACCUUUCUUUUCUUCGGGUACUCUUUGUAACAAAAGAGAGAUUAGCAAAAAGAAAUAAAAUACAAACUAAGUUUUAAGGUGAUUUCGAGUACUCUUCUUCGUUUUUCAUUUUAUUUCUUAUCUUUUUUUUGUUUAUUUAUAUAUGUAAAAUAAAGAAAAGUAAAAGGAAAAAAAAACUCACCUGAUUCGUUUUUCGGUUGCGUCGCCGUUGGGAUCUACCCAUCGUUGAAAUCGGCCUCGAAAGGCUGAGUUAAGGGGUCUCUCCUUUGGAUCUUUCGGCUAAAUGAGUCUAGCCUUCAAUUAGGCCUAGGAUCGGGGACUAAAUAGCCCUUUUGCGCAACGCCGACCACCACGCAUGGUGGCGCUACGGCGGCGCUGUGUGGGCUCAAAGUUCGGGCGUUUGAGAGGGGGAGGAGAAAGGUUUUCUUUUUUUUGUUUUGUUUUUUUAAAAGAAAAGAAGUGAGAUGGUGAAUAUUUUUUGAAAGAGUUUGGGUUUAAAUAACCCCCUAAAACGGCGCCGUUUGGGCUUAGGGUUCAGAGACCAAAAACGGCGUCGUUUUGGUCUCUGACCCGCGCGGUGACCCGACCCGAGGGAAGGAUCCGCGUGUUUUUGACUCUUGGGUUAUUUGCGCAAUUAGUCCCUUUGAUUCUGUAGCGAUUUCAUGGAAGUUUUUCGCAUAUUUGCAAUUUGGCCACAAAAUUUUAUUUUUGUCUCAAUUCGGUCCAUUACUGCGCAGCGUUUUGGGGCUUUGGUUUAUUUACGCUGUUAGUCCCCCUCUUUCAGCACGCGUUACGAUUUAGUCCUUCUUGUCCUUUUUUAUUUUUUAUUUUGCCCCGUAUUUUCGCUUUUAUUUCGAUUUAGUCCAUAUUUUAGCAAUUUUAUUAUUUAGUUAUUAUUAUUAUUAUUAUCUUAACUAUUAUUAUUAUUAUAUUUAUUAACAUUAUUGUUAUUAUUAUGCCCUUUUUUUUAUAUUCACUUAUGAAACUUUUAGAUAUAUUUGUUUUAAUAUAUUAUUAUCAUGAUUGUUUUUAUAUACAUAUACGUAUAUAUAUAUUUUUCUCACUUAUUUAAUAUAUAAAUACUCAAUUUUAUAUACAUACCUAUAUAUAUAUAUAUAUGUUUUUAUAUAUUAAAAUAUGUAUAUUAUUUAUAUAUUUUAUUUUAUUUUGUUAUAUUUUAUAAUCCAUAUAUGUAUAUAUUUUCAUCUACAUACAUAUGUUCUUAUGUUUUGUAAUAUUUAUGUAUUCCUUUCUUAAUAUAUAUAUGUACAUAUUUUAACCUUUGUAAACACAUAUACAUAUACACGCAUAUUUUAAUUUAUGUCCAUAUAUAUCUCUUUACAUUUAAUUGUAUUUACUACUUAUUUAUUUCAUUUUCUUUAUUAUUUUGAAUGAAUGUUUUAAUUUAUUUGUUUAUAUACAUUGUUAUUUUAUACGAUUGUAGGUAUGACUUUUAUUUAUUUUAUAUUGUUGCUAUUACUCGUAUCAUUUUUAUACUUUUGUGUGUGUAUUAUGAUUUUACCACGCAUAACAACAAUGUAAUUUGCUUUCACAUUUUACUACGAUUUUCGUGUUUUAUUUUACUUGAUAUAACAAAAAUUAGUUUUAAAAAAAUAAUAAAAUAAAAUUUCAUGUUUAGAUUCGAGAGGAUCGUACCCUAACUUACUAGGUUUCGAUUUUCAUAAUAAAUUUAAAUAUACGAAUCUUUUCAAACUCAAGUUUUUAAACGAUCUUGGGAAUUAAGAAAAGAUCGUGUCCUAACAUACUGGGCAUGAUUCAUUUUUUUAAACCCGAGAUAAUAAAAUAUCUUUUAAAUGAGUAAAUUUUCAGCAUUCGUUCGUGUAUCGGGAAUUUGAGAUAUUGUGUCCUAACUUACUGGAUGUGAUUCUCUUUCUCGAUUAACGUGAAAUAUGCCCAUUUUCCCAAAAUUUUUAACAUUUUAAUACAAGGAUCGUAUUUUUAAUUAGGUACCAAUUUCUGGGCAUUACGAGGGUGCUAAUCCUUCCUCGUACGUAACCGACUGCCGAACCUGAUUUCUGAAUUUCGUGGACCAAAAUCGUUGUUUUAAUAAAAUCAAAUCGUUUAUUAAAACCACUUUUCGAGGUGAUCCAAUCGCACCUCAUAAAAAAGGGAUUGGUGGCGACUCCCCUUUCAUUUUUUUGAAACCCAAGUCGACCCCGUUUUUCAUCAAAAAAAUGGUGUCAACAAAUAUUAAAAUAUUUUUCUGACUCAGAUUUGUAGUCCCAAAACCACUGUCCGACUAGGGUCUAAACCGGGCUGUUACAAAAUUAAUUUUAAAAUCAGUUAAAAUGGAUUAAGGUAAUUAAUUAUUGAGUAAUGAAAUACAUAAUCAAAUCAAUUGAUUUUGCUAGAAACUAAAAGAAAAAGGGAUAAGCUAAAAACUGAUUGCCCUUUAUUAAAAUUAACGAAUCCGCCUUUUACAUAUUAGAUAAUAUGAACAUCGCAUAUAUAAUAAGAAAAAUUACGUACGAUUAUUUAUUAUCAUAAAAGGUUAGUUUAAAUUUAAAGUAAUCUAAUAUGUUUAUUGAACUUCAACUAUUAAAUAAAGUAUAAGCAAAAUAUGUGUAAAUAUUCUAGAAACCAUUUCUAACUAAUGAUAGGCUAAUUUGGAAUUAAGAUUAAUAUAUAAAAACUAGAUAGUAGGGUUAUAGUCCUCAAACUACACCUAAUUUAAUAACAUUUAUAUUUUUUUUAGCCUUAAACAUUUAUAGUUUUUGUUAAUUUGGUCCUUACUCUUUAAAAGUACAUAAAAUUGCAAAAAUAUUUUAAAAAUUGCAAGAAAACAACUCCAAUGACACUAUUGAAGCCGACUCUGAAGCAGAUGUUCAUCAAGAUUGAAGAUUCCAGUUGAUUUCUUAAGAGAUUAUCAUGAGUUUAUUUAUUUCUUUGGGUUAUACUACCCUUUGGAUGUUUUUAUUUUUAAGCAUAAACUAAUUUUCAAAAUAUUUAAGAGAGAUGAACCCUAUGAUAGAUUGUGACACCCUAAACCUGACCGAGAUAGAUUGGACCGAAUUCGAAGCAUUACAUUAGCCACAUAAGUGCCUCUCCAGCUAACGACCACCCAAGACACACCCCGACCUUAUAACACCUCAAUCUUAUCUAAUUAUUAGUUAUUUAUUAAUGCAGAAGUAAAUUAUAAGCCAAUUUUAAACUUUUCCUAGAUAAUUUAACCUAAGGGCAAUUUUGUCAUUUUAUCACCUACUGUAAAACUAACCUUUUUAGAUCUAAGUGAUUACCAACCUUCUUUUAGUCAAAUUAUGCAAGCCUAAAAUUUUGAGCUUAAUUUGAGUUCGUUUACUAUGUCUAAUUCAAGUUUUAUUAUUAAGGACUGAAUUGUAACUCAAACAAAUUAGAAUACUAAUUUAAAGAGACAAAAAUUCAAAACCCCAAAACCCACACGGGCAUGUGGGUAAGUGACAGGGGUGUGUGGAGACUGGAGCUAUCACACACAGGCUUGUGGGAUUGAAAAAUAUGAAAUAAAUUAAUCCACUCAAUUUUCCAACAACCAUGCUAUACUACCAAACCAAAAAACACUUGAAGAUUUGAAUAGGGGCGAAUCUAAAAAAAGAAGAAGAAGAAGAAUUAGAAUUAAAUUAUAAAUUUUUGAGAAGUUAAAAUAUAAUUUUAUCAUGUAUUAAUUUAUUAUUUUUUAAAGGGUCUCAAUAGAAUUUUUUUUUCCAUUUUGGUUGGGCCAAUACCCCUGCCUGCCUCUUUAAAUUUGCUCCAACCCUAUACCCAAUAUUUGAUUUGGAUUAACAACAAUAUAUAGGUUAGUAUUUGUGGGAGUUUGACGAAUCUUAGAUGUUUAAAUUAUAAAUUUUUGAAAGAUUAAAAUAAAUUUGUAUUUUUUAUUAACAAAAGAAAAAAGAAAAAAAAACAUGUGUAGACAAGUCAAGAGACCUUUGGGAUCAUACGGGUGAUUUUGAUGAAGUUAAUGGUUAUUUUGGUGGAGAGGGUGAAAAGGAAACAAAUGAUUCAUUAUAUAUAAUAUAAUUAUGAAAUUCAAGCCAUAUAUUGUAUGUUUCAUACAUAAAAAUUUCAUGGGACGUCCAAAGGUUAACAUAUCAAUUGAUUUAUGAGUUUACACUUUUUUUAUAAUGUUGUACUUUUGGUUUUUGUGCAAUAUGAUACAUAUAUUUGGUAAAAAGUUAUAUAUUUUGAUACUUAAAGGUAACAUUGUUAAUUUUUUAGUGUUUUAUCUGAAUUUUAGAGUUUAUUUAAUGAACAUUAAUUGUUAAUAUUGUUUUGUUUAUUUUUUUAUGAUUUUGUUAAUAAAAUAAAUUUCAUGUUAAUCUUGUUAUCUUUCUUAUUUUAGAAUUGAUUACAUGAAAGUUAAUUGCUAAUAUUAUUAGUUAACUAUUAGUUUUCUUCAAAUCAAAUUAAAACCCGAAAGGUCCCUCUUUUUUUAUAUUAGUUUUAGUUAUCCAUUAAAUUUGUUUCUUUGUAAUAAAAUUAAAUUAUAGAAAUAACAUUAAAAUUUUCAAUAAAAAUAAUUCACAAUAAUUAUACAGAAUUUAAUUUUCUUUCAAAUGCUACAGUUAAUAAGGAAAGUGAAUAUAGUACAUAUCAAUAAAACUUUUAAAAAAGAAAUAUUGUUUAAUUAGUUAAUUUAAAAAUUAGCGUCUAAAAACUGUCAGAAUGAAAUAUUAGAUUUUAUAAGAUUUCAUUAUUCUAAAAAAUAAAAUAUGACAAUGCUUAAAAAUUUUAUUAAAAAAGUUUUAAAUUUUAUAUAAAAUUUAAAAAAAUAUAAAAUAGUACUAAAAAUUUUUAUAAGCAAAUUUAAAUAUUAAUUAGUAAAUUAUUUUUGUAAUAUUUAUAUGUAUUUUCAUUUUUAUAAAUACUAUUAAAACUUAUUUAAAAAAAUUGAAUGCUAUUAUAUGAAAGUUAAAAUGAUCUAAAAACAUUUUUUAAAAUUUUAAAUACUUUAUAAAAUAUUUAAAAUAUUUUAAAUUAUAUCAUAUAUAUUCUACAUAUAUUAAGAUUCUGAAUCAUUAAUUAUAUAUCUACAUAUUAUAAUAAAUUCAUCUUUCAAAAUUUUCCUAAACUAUAUUCAUAAUAUUAUAAAUAUAUUAUAUCAUAAAUAUUCUUUCAAAUGUUUUUAAUGUUUAUUAAUAAGUUAAUUUAUAAAAUAUUCUUUCAGUAAAUUAACGUGAUGAGAUCGUUAGUUGCUUGGAUUUGGUGAUGGGGACGAGGAGAAAAGGGAUGGAAGUGAAGAGAAAUGUUGGGAAAUUGAAAGGGUUAGCGAGGGAGGCCUCCAUGAAAGGUGGUUCUAUGGAUAUGAACCUUCAAGCUUUUGUGGAUGAUGUUGCUCAAGGUUGUUGCAAGUAAAUUUAAAAAUGUUUUUUUAAUUAUUUUUUGUUAAAAAAUAUUUUUUCUAUGUGAUAACUUCUGAUGAUUUUUGUCUGUAACAUUAGACAGGUUAAUAGUUAAAUCGUUCAAACUGACAGAUUUCGCUAAAGGGAGAGGUCAAUUGAUUUUUUUUGGAAUCAUUGAGAACUCAAUUGGUGCACUUUUUUCAUAAAGACUAAAUUAAUUUUUUAAUUUGUUAUCGCUGAGGGCUACAGUAAUAAAAAAUUUUGAGGCAAAAAUGGAAUAACGUCCCAAAAAUCUAAUACUUAAUUUGUAAAAUUUUAUCAUUAAUAAAUAUUUGCCUUAGUGGUUAAGUAUUCAAGACGUGUCUAUAAUAUCUUGUAUUCAAGUCCUUAUGUGAAUGGAUUGUUAUUAUUUUUUUUGCGCGGGUCGGGUAGGAGGUUGAGUUUGAGUCCAGUUCGAACUCUGGAAAAAGGUGGUUAGUUAUCUGAGAUGGGGUUAGUGCUUAGUAGAUUUGGAUUUGGUUUAUUUUAAAAUUUAUUAAUUAAUUUGUUAAAAAAUUAAAUAGUUUUUUCCUAAUUUUUGGCUCACCAUUCUUUCUUUUGUUUUUCUUUAUGCUUUCUUUUUCUUUUCUUUUUCUGUUACCUUUCAAAUCACGUCGAUUUGUUCCUAUUUUGCUUUUGAGUUUUUCUUUUCUUUCCUUUACGCUCCUCUACGAUCGUGUCUUAAUUCCUUCAUUAUUUUCUCUUUGUUGGCGUUGCUCGUUCGAGAGUGGAUUAGUUUCCGUUUUGAUGUGUUUUUACGUGGUUAAUAAAAGAAAUGUGUUAAUUUUUGGAUUAUGGAGUUGAUCGUUUUUAAUCAAUUCUCCAGUAAGUUGACUCGUUUGCUGUUGUAAUGUGCUAGGGUAAGAGAUUAAUUCUGAUUUGGGCCUGUGUGGUUGUGUAGAUUUUCCAUGUGAAUUCGUUUGGUAUUUUUAGGUUAAAUCAUUCUUUAAAUCGUAUUGCUACCAUCGCUAAUGUGAUGUUUUAAUUUAUGCAUUUAGGAUCUGGUAGUCUUGUAGGUGUUUUCGCAUAAACAAUUCGAACCAUGUGUAACGAAAAACUCGACAAUAACGAGCGACGAAAGCUAAAAAAUUGCACUGUCGAUGCCACACGGUCAUGUGACAAGCCAUGUGCUAGACCGUGUGCAACACACGAUCUGGGCUAGUUGAGCCGUGUGGAACAAGAAACUAAGAAAAUCCAAUCUAACAAAGAAAAUAACUUGAUGUCCAAAAGCUACCAUGAACCGUAAUUCAUGGGAAGGCUUGUUGCUCAUUUUAUUGGUUUCCAUUUUGACUUUUGCAAAAGAAGUUUGAAUUUUGAAGAGAGCCUAGUACGUGAGAGCAAAAGAAAGAAUUCUAUAAAGAUUUUGAAUUUUGAAUUUUGAAUUUUGAAGCAAAUUUUCAUUAAGAUUGAAGAUUUGUAAUUGAUUUCUUAGGAGAUUAUCACGAGUUCCUUAAUUUUUUCAGUUAUAUUGCCCUUUGGAUGUUUUUAUUUUUAAUCAUGAACUAAUUUUCUAAAUACGUAAGAGAGAUGAACCCUAUGAUAGAUUGUGACACCCCAAAGCCGACCGGGAUAGACCGGCCCAAAUUCGAAGCAUUACAUUAGCAACCUAAGUGACUCACUAGCUAACGACCACCCAAAACACACCCCGACCUUAUAACACCUCAAUCUUAUUUAAUUAUUAGUUAUUUUAGAGAUUCUUAGCUUUGACAACUUCUCUCCACCACUUCUCUUACGCUCCUUCCAGGAUCUUGCUUUUUGUCUGUUGAAAACUCAAAUGAACAAAAUAAAGUGAAUUUAUGAGUUUUGUUUUCUUUUAAAAAUAUUUUUAAUAUUUUUGUGGAUAUCAAGAGAUACCAAAAAUUAUUUCAUUAAGAAAUUUUAAUUCACUCGAAAAGUUAGUGUUUUAUUUCAAGGGAUCAUAAUUAAUCAUUAGAUUUCUGAAUUUUAAAUUUUGAAUUUUUUGACAAUUGCGUAAUUAAUAAGUACCAAUUUUGAGUGUUGUAGGGCUAGUACANNNNNNNNNNNNNNNNNNNNNNNNNNNNNNNNNNNNNNNNNNNNNNNNNNNNNNNNNNNNNNNNNNNNNNNNNNNNNNNNNNNNNNNNNNNNNNNNNNNNAUUUGUCCUUAUACUUUGAUCUAAAUAUUUUGAUCUAAUAAAUGUAAAAAAACCUUUUAAACAAAAUAAGGUUGAAAUAAUCUAUUUGUCUUUAUACUUUGAUAAAAUUUAAGAUUUAGUCUGUAUACCUAAAAGGUUAAAAAUUAAGUCUUCUUGUUUUUAUUUAAAAAUCUUAGUCCUAUCGUUAAUUUUUUUUUGUUAAAAUUUAUCAACUUGACAUAUUAAUUAGGUUUCCCUUAUAUGUCGUGGUAUACGACUAACACAAAAUAAACAAGUUGACAAAUUCUGACAAAAAAUAUCAAAGAUGGUAAUAAUUUAAUUAAAAUUUUUAAAUUGAAAAAGUAGGGAAUUAAAUUUAUAACUUUUAAAGUACAAAAAAUGAACUUAUUGAAAUACAAGAACUAACAACAUAUGUUAAAAUAUUACUAGUAAAUUAUAUAUCUACAACAAGAAUUGUAAAAUUCUGCACCUUUCGUUAUAAUAUGAUUUAUUAAUUUUAAAUUUUUUACAGAAUAAUAUGCUUUAAACUAUUUUUUGUAUCAUUUAUAAAAAUUAUAAUAAACUUACAAAAUGAUUUCAUCAUAUUUAAUUAUUAACGGGAAAAAAUGAUACCAUAUAUAUUUUGUAUAUAUUAAGAUUCCGAAUCAUUAAUUAUAUAUCUACACAUUAUAAUAAAUUUAUCUUUCAAAAUUUUCCUUAUAAUUAAAUCAUAAAUUACAUUUAUAAUAUUAAAAAUAUAUUAUAUCAUAAAUAUUCUUUCAAAUAUUUUUUAAUGUUUAAUAAUAAGUUAAUUUAUAAAAUAUUCUUUCAAGAAAUUAACGUGAUGAGAUCAUUAGGUGCUUGGAUUUGGUGAUGGGGGAUGAAGAGAAAAGGGAUGGAAGUGAAGAAAAAUGUUGAGAAAUGGAAAGGGUUAGCGAGGGAAGCCGCCAUGAAAGUUUAUUGGUUCUAUGGAUAUGAACCUUCAAGCUUUUGUGGAUGAUGUUACUCAAAGGUUGUUGCAAGUAAAAUUUAAAAAAAAAAAGAGGUAAAAAGAAAAAAAUAUUAGAGCUAAAUUUGUCAUUAUGACUAAAAUGUAAAACCAAAAUUUUUUAAAAAUGGAAAAUUUACAAAUUUUGUCACUUAUGUUUGCUUAAAAUUAUAGUUUUGGUCACCAAUCUUUUAAAGUAAAUAUAUGGUCACCAAUAUUAUCCAUUUGUUACUUUGUAAUAACUCACCUUAAACUUCAGUAAUUGACGAGCGCUUUCACAAACUGUGGAUGACUUGGGGAUAAGAACUUCAACAAUUCUAGAGUUAAAGUGUAAAUUUACUAUUAUAUUAUAAGUAAAUAUUGAAAUUUAUCACUAUAAUUGAUACUUGUCAUUACACUUUGAAAAUAUAAAUAAAUUUACCAUUUAACUCAUAUGUGAUAGAACUUUACAAGUAAACUUAAAAUUUUAUUUAAUUUUGUCACUAAAUUUGAUUUAUUUAAUUAAAUUUACAACUCAAUAUAGAUUUUGGUGACUUAAAAUAAAAUUAAUAAAAAAAACUAUUCUUUCAGAUAAUUUUUUAAUGUUUAAUAAUAAGUUGAUUUAUAAAAUAUACUUUCAUUGGACACAAGCAUCCAAGGCGGUGAACAAACCACUUGUCAAAUUAAUUUGGAGAUGUCUUUUUUUCUAAAUCAAGUAAAUUUAUGAGUUUUGCAUUUUUUAUAAAAAUAUUUUUAAUAUUUUUGUGGAUACCAAGAGAUUAGGGGUGAGCAAAACUCGAUUCGACUNNNNNNNNNNNNNNNNNNNNNNNNNNNNNNNNNNNNNNNNNNNNNNNNNNNNNNNNNNNNNNNNNNNNNNNNNNNNNNNNNNNNNNNNNNNNNNNNNNNNUAUUUUUUAAUUCCAAAAUACAUAGUGACAAGAAUCUGAAGAUAAUUGAAACAACUAAGCAAGCAAAGAAGCUAAUCAGUAUAUAAAAAAUUAAUAAAUAAAUUAUGAGGUGAUGAAAGUUAAUAAAAAAUUUGAUUAAGGUAGACAAAUUUUAUUACGAUGGGUGACAGCGGUUACAAGGACCCAAAAUUAUUUUUUAAAAUUUAACUCGAAUAAAUAUAUUCGAUUCGAUUCGAUUCGAAUUCCAUCUCACUCGACUCGAUUCGAGAAAACUUCAAAUAAAGGUAGGAUGAUAAAAUAAGAUUUGAAAACUCGAUUAACUCGAAAAUUUUUGAUUCGAUUCGAUUCGAUUCGAUCGAAUGCUCACCCCUACAAGAGAUACCAAAAAUUAUUUCACUAAGGAAUAAAUUAGUGUUUUAUUUUAAGAGUUCACAAUUAAACAUUAAAUUUUUUAUUUUUAAAUUUAGAAUUUCUUGACAAACGCGUAAUUAAUAAGUACUAAUUUUGGGUGUUGUAGGGUUAUUACAAUCUUGCCUACACGUAACAGAUUCUUAAACCUACUUUUUUUUUCUAGAACUCAAUGCAAACCUCAAAUUUAUCUUUUUAAAAAAAUUUUAAAAUAUCUAUAUAAAAGGUGAUUUUUUUUAUCGAUCACACUUAAGAAAUUUUAAAAAUUAUUAAUUUUUUUGAAAUUUAAAUUGAUCUAAAAACAUAUUUUUAAGUGCUUUAACCAUCUGGUGCUAAUUUCUUUAUUAUAUUAAAUGCUUGCAAUCACUCCUGAUAUAUUAUACUUGAGUUGUGACAGAGCCAAUUAUCAACGUGCCAUAAUGUUCUAUUGGUGCUGAAACUGAAGUUUUAGUUAUAUUAAUAGAGCUUGUCCUUCAACGCGUAUAAUAAGUGUUUGUUAUUUUUUUCCUUCAAAUUGUAUGAUCUCAUUCAUUAAAUGAAUUAAUGAAUUUCUUUUUAAAAAUAUAAUUCUAAAAAUUAAAUACUUUAUAAAAUAUUUAAAACUAUUUAAAAAAUUGUAAGCGAUAAAACAAUCAACAAGAUAUAUUUUUCUCUAAAAAAAUCAAUAAAAAUAUGUUUGAAAUUUUAUAUGAAAUUUAAAAUUUUUUAACAAUAAUAUAUUUUAAAAUUAUUUACACCUUUUUUUUAUAUAUUUUUCCUAACAUAUCGUUAUUUUCAACACUAUCGCAAUCCUGUUUUGGUAAUUCCCUUUCCAUACAUCCUUUUUCUACAUAGAAUUUCGAAAGAAAAUGUGAAUUAAUGCAGACUUGAGAAGACUUAGUGGUAAGUCACCCAAUGAAAGUGACCUAAACCGACUUAUGGAACAAUCAAACAAUAAUUUUGUAUCUUAUAAUAUAUUUAAUUACAUUUAUUAGUUUAUCAAUCAAAACUUAAUUAGAAUCCAUCAAUAUUUCACACAUAGCAUAAAAUUCACUUUUAAAGUAUUUGGGUUGUAUUUAUAUUAUAGGAAAUAGACUUAUUCUUGAUGCACAUGUUUUAUUAUAUUUAAAAAUUAAAAUAUAUGAUUGAUUGGGUUUUAGUUGAGUUAGUAUUAGUAUUGUUAUCACUAUAUGAAAAAGUGAGCUCGAUCAUGCUCAAAUGCGUUUUAUCCUCCAAUUCAAGAGUUGAGAAAAAAUUAUUGAUAAUUAAAUUAUACAAUAUCUAAAAAGCAUUUAUAAAUAAUAUAAGAAAAAAAAAGAAAAAAAGAAGAGAAACAUAUUCAUAUCGAUGGGCUCUUUCAUUAUUAGAAUUUUAUUCUCUCACAAGUAAAAGUAUUUAUGGAGAGGAUCAUGUAAAAUAAUGACCUGAAUAAUUUUAAACGUUUCAUCAUUACAAAAAUGAAAUAAUAGAAAAGAAAGACUACCCAUUUUAUGAAAUAUAAAUUUUAAAUGAAUUUUAAAAUCUUUUUAUAGAAAGCUAUUUUUUUAGGUGAUUCACCAAAGAAUAAAAAGAUGGGAGGUGAUUCCUCCUUUUUAAUAAAACCUUGUGCUUUUACAAACACCAAAUUAUUCCUAAGCUUUACAUUAAUAUACAUGAUUUAUUUUUUCGUUAUUAUUAUUUCUAUGAUUAUAAUAUUAUACUUAUUGGACUAUAAUCAUAACCAUGUUUAUUAUCAUUCAAUAAAAAGAAAUAAGUGUUGGAUGUAAUGGCAAGGUACAUUACAAUCUUAAUAGGAGAUUAGGGUUUUGGACAAAGGAAGAAUAUGAUUUGAAUUUUGGAGACGACAUUCUUAAAAUGAGCAACCACGGGGCCCGAUUAUGAACCAUAAAAUGAACAUGAAAAGUACCCAAAAAAACACGUCUAUUAUCCAAUUAGUAAUCCAUCCCAAGGCUUAAAUUAACAAAAUUCACCAUGCAACCGUGUAGACUAUUUUAUGUAUAUACUAUAUUUAUUCUUCAUGCAAAUGUUUAUUAUAUUUAAAAAUUAAAAUAUAUGAUUGAUUGAGUUUUAGUUGAGUUAAUAUCGAUAUUGUUGUUAGUGCAAAAGAAUGUGAGUUCAAUCAUGUUUAAACGCGUUUUAUCUUCCAAUUUAGGAGUUGGAGAGGAUUCUCAAUAGUUAAAUUAUAUAAUUUUUUGUCUAUUUAAAAUUGGUUUAUAAAUAAUAUAAAUAAAAAGAUUUAAAAUAUAUAUAUUCAUAUUGAUCGGCGUUUUCAUUAUUAGACUUUUUUCCCUACAGGUAAAAGUAUUUAUGGACAGGAUGAUGUAAAAUUAUGACCUAAAUAAUUUUAAACCUUUCAUCAUUGCAAAAAUGAAAAUAAUAGAAAUGAAAGACUAGCCAUUGUAUGAAAUUUGGCAGGCCAUGUCAAUUUCGUAGAUUUGCACUCUGAACUGUGAAAAAAAUACAAAUUUUAGGUUUUUCAAGCAUUUUAAUUCGUAUAUAUGAAAAAAAAAAAAAAAGAAGAUAGGAGAGAACCUUCCUAGAAUAUUUAAGAAAACAGCUCCAAAGACACUAUUGAAGCCGACUCUAAAGCAGAUUUUCAUCAAGAUUGAAUAUUCCCAGUUGAUUUCUUAAGAGAUUAUCAUGAGUUUCUUUAUUUCUUUCGGUUAUACUGCCCUUUGGAUGUUUUAAUUUUUAAGCAUGAACUAAUUUUCUAAAUACCUAAGAGAGAUGAACCCUAUGAUAGAUUGUGGCACCCCAAACCCGAUCAGGAUAGAGCAGCUCGAAUUCGAAGCAUUACAUUAGCCACCUAAGUGACUCUCCAGCUAGCGACCACCCAGGACACACCCCAACCUUGUAACACCUCAAUCUUGUUUAAUUAUUAGUUAUUUAUUAUUGCAGAAGUAAAUUAUGAGCCAAUUUCAAACUUUUCCUAGGUAAUUUAACCAAAGGGCAAUUUUGUCAUUUUACCACCUAUUGUAAAACUAACUUGAUUUUAGAUCUAAGUGUUUACCAACCUUCUUUUACUCAAAUUAUGCAAGCCUAAAUUUUUUAGCUUAAUUUGAGUUUGUUUACUAUGUCUAAUUCAAGUUUUAUUAUUAAUGACUAAAUUGUAACUCAAACAAAUUAGAAUAUAAUUUAAAGAGAAAAAAAUUCCAAACCCCAAAACUAACACGGGCAUGUGGGUAAGUGACACGGGCAUGUGGAGACUGGAGCUAUCACACAUGGGCGAGUGGGAUUGAAAAAUAUGAAAUAAAUUAAUCCACUUAAUUUUCCAACUACCAUGCUAUACUACCAAACCAAAUAACGCUUGAAGUUUUGAAUAGGGGCGAAUCUAAAAAAUAUUAGAAGAAUUAUAAUUAAAUUAUAAAAUUUUGAGAAGUUAUCAUGUAUUAAUUUUUUAUUUUUAAAGGGUCUUCAUAGAAUUUUUUUUCACAUUUUGGUUGGGCCAAUACCCCUGUCUGCCUCUUUAAAUUUGCUUGAACCCUAAACCCAAUAUUCGAUUUGUUGUGGAAGUUUGAUGCAUAAAAAUUUCUUUUUUAGAGGUUUAAAUUAUAAAUUUUUGAAAGAUUAAAAUAAAUUUGUCUUUUUUUUAUUAACAAAAUAUAAAAAGAAAAAAAAAACAUGUUUAGACAAGCCAAGAAACCUUUGGGAUCAUACAGGUGAUUUUGAUGAUGUCUCAUCCAUAAAAAUAAUCUCUUUAUACUGUAGGCUUGCUGAAUUUCUUUGAAAGGCCCAAAGGUAAUUUAACAUUCACAAAAUAAUCUCUAAAUACUGUAAAGACAAAUCAAAUCCACAGCAGCAUUAGAGUUGAUUAAGCUAAGCAUUGGCAAAUAUUACUUUGAUUUUGCAUGCAAUAUUGGCAAAACCCCCUCCUACAUUAGAAAAACAACAUAAUCCAUGUAACAUUGAUAGCCCAAUACAAAUUUCAUCAAGAAAAAAGUCUCUUUGUUUAUUUGUAGAACAUGAUAGUAAAGAUAUGGAGUUUCGUACGUUCUUCUUGUUGUCCUCCUUUAGUUUCCCUUGAUCAACAACCACUAGCCAAAAACACAAUUAGAUUAGAUUAUGAAUGAUACUUUCAACUAUGACAAUAUUAAAUACAAAACACUCUAAAUAACUCUAAAUAAAUGGAAAGCAGCAAAUUACCUGAUAAGGCAAGUUAGCUGAAUUAAGACCAUUGUGUUAUACUUGUCUUUGAAUUGAAAAUUUUAGAAGAAAAUAAAGAGAAAAAGUUAGAAAAUACUUGAAAACAGAUAAAACUUAUAUGUCAUUGAUUGGAUAAACUACAAUCACCUAUAAUAGACCUUGUACUUGACUUUUGUUGAGGGAGAUCGACUCCUUUAGGAGAAGUCUUUUGAGUGUUGUUUGCUAGGCAAUCGGUGCUGCCCUCAACAACUAAUGGUAGUGUCCCCAUGUCGGGAUUUAAAAUUUAUAUUGAAUUACUUUAUACUUAAAUUUAUGAGAACCACGUAUUUAGAACUUAAAUUUGUGUUUUAAAAUAACUUAUGAUAAAUAAUGAAAUGUAUAAUUUGAAACUAUUUAAUAAUAACACAUAGCACAUCUACUAUGUUAAAAUAAAAAUAGAUUAAAUUGUAAGUAAAACAUAAUUUAAACAUAUGAAUACAUCAAAUUAAGAAUAAUAAAUGAAUACAGUUAUUUAUGAAGAGAGCAUACUACGUGAGAGCAAAAGAAAAAAUAUAGUUUAUUAAUUUUUACGAAUACCGACAUAUUAUAUAUACGAUUAAAAUUCAGAAUAGAUUAAAAAUGUUGAAUUAAACAUAAAAUUAAGUNNNNNNNNNNNNNNNNNNNNNNNNNNNNNNNNNNNNNNNNNNNNNNNNNNNNNNNNNNNNNNNNNNNNNNNNNNNNNNNNNNNNNNNNNNNNNNNNNNNNNNNNNNNNNNNNNNNNNNNNNNNNNNNNNNNNNNNNNNNNNNNNNNNNNNNNNNNNNNNNNNNNNNNNNNNNNNNNNNNNNNNNNNNNNNNNNNNNNNNNNNNNNNNNNNNNNNNNNNNNNNNNNNNNNNNNNNNNNNNNNNNNNNNNNNNNNNNNNNNNNNNNNNNNNNNNNNNNNNNNNNNNNNNNNNNNNNNNNNNNNNNNNNNNNNNNNNNNNNNNNNNNNNNNNNNNNNNNNNNNNNNNNNNNNNNNNNNNNNNNNNNNNNNNNNNNNNNNNNNNNNNNNNNNNNNNNNNNNNNNNNNNNNNNNNNNNNNNNNNNNNNNNNNNNNNNNNNNNNNNNNNNNNNNNNNNNNNNNNNNNNNNNNNNNNNNNNNNNNNNNNNNNNNNNNNNNNNNNNNNNNNNNNNNNNNNNNNNNNNNNNNNNNNNNNNNNNNNNNNNNNNNNNNNNNNNNNNNNNNNNNNNNNNNNNNNNNNNNNNNNNNNNNNNNNNNNNNNNNNNNNNNNNNNNNNNNNNNNNNNNNNNNNNNNNNNNNNNNNNNNNNNNNNNNNNNNNNNNNNNNNNNNNNNNNNNNNNNNNNNNNNNNNNNNNNNNNNNNNNNNNNNNNNNNNNNNNNNNNNNNNNNNNNNNNNNNNNNNNNNNNNNNNNNNNNNNNNNNNNNNNNNNNNNNNNNNNNNNNNNNNNNNNNNNNNNNNNNNNNNNNNNNNNNNNNNNNNNNNNNNNNNNNNNNNNNNNNNNNNNNNNNNNNNNNNNNNNNNNNNNNNNNNNNNNNNNNNNNNNNNNNNNNNNNNNNNNNNNNNNNNNNNNNNNNNNNNNNNNNNNNNNNNNNNNNNNNNNNNNNNNNNNNNNNNNNNNNNNNNNNNNNNNNNNNNNNNNNNNNNNNNNNNNNNNNNNNNNNNNNNNNNNNNNNNNNNNNNNNNNNNNNNNNNNNNNNNNNNNNNNNNNNNNNNNNNNNNNNNNNNNNNNNNNNNNNNNNNNNNNNNNNNNNNNNNNNNNNNNNNNNNNNNNNNNNNNNNNNNNNNNNNNNNNNNNNNNNNNNNNNNNNNNNNNNNNNNNNNNNNNNNNNNNNNNNNNNNNNNNNNNNNNNNNNNNNNNNNNNNNNNNNNNNNNNNNNNNNNNNNNNNNNNNNNNNNNNNNNNNNNNNNNNNNNNNNNNNNNNNNNNNNNNNNNNNNNNNNNNNNNNNNNNNNNNNNNNNNNNNNNNNNNNNNNNNNNNNNNNNNNNNNNNNNNNNNNNNNNNNNNNNNNNNCCAUUCCAUCUGAAAGCUCCCUUUAUAUACAUAUCCAAAACUCCUGAACCAAGCAUAUUGCUUUCCUCAAAUCAUAGUGCUCGUGAAAGUUCAGCAUGUGAAAUUCUUCUCGGUGUCUUCAAAGACAACAAAUCAUCUUUAAUUGGUAAAGCUGUACUCCUCCUUUGGCAUCUUCUAUACAUAAUAGUUAAGACUAUUAGUACUACGACAAUACCAAUUGUUGGUAAACCAUACCUAAAAGCAUGCAAUAUAAUCAUU
Molecule: long non-coding RNA, 66553 nt
Filed under: Gossypium raimondii (Peruvian cotton)
Lineage: Eukaryota; Viridiplantae; Streptophyta; Magnoliopsida; Malvales; Malvaceae
Description: long non-coding RNA (GRAI_LNC007578)
Source: RNAcentral